Molecule: long non-coding RNA, 54448 nt
Filed under: Triticum aestivum (bread wheat)
Lineage: Eukaryota; Viridiplantae; Streptophyta; Magnoliopsida; Poales; Poaceae
Description: long non-coding RNA (TAES_LNC009673)
Source: RNAcentral
CUUUAUGUUGUUUCGUUCUAGUUGAUCAGUAGUGGAGCCCAGUUGGGGUCGAUCGGGGACCUUUGUCGCAUUUGGGGUUCUUCUUUUAUUUUGGUUCCGUAGUCGGACCAUGAGUGUAUUUGGUUGAUGUAAUGCUUUAUUCAUGUAAUUGUGUGAAGUGACGAUUGUAAGCCAACUAUGUAUCCUUUCCCUUAUUUAUUACAUGGGUUUUGUGAAGAUUACCUCACUUGCGACAUAUGCCUUCAAUGCGAUUAUGCCUCUAAGUCGUGCCUCGACACGUGGGAGAUAUAGUCGCAUCGAUGGUGUUACAAGUUGGUAUCAGAGCCUUCCCCGACCUUAGGAGCCCCCACUGAUUGAUCGCUUUUAGCGGCCGAGUUGUGUCUAGAAAAAAAAUGUUUUGAGUCUUUAGGAAUUAUAUAUCGAAGAGUUUAGGAAUUCUUUUUACUUCCCAGUCUCCUCAUCGCUCUGGUAAGGCAUCCUGGCGUAGAGUUUUGACUCUUCUCUUCUCAAAUUUCACUAAAUUUUUUUUUAGGAUCACGCGGGUAUCUUGGAAUCGUUCCGAUGGUUUUAUGAUGAGAACAUUGUCUUGGUGCCUCCUGUCAGGGGUUUAGUGGAAGUGUCCCGGGGAGUUGAGCUCUGAGGUGUUGUCGUCAUAAUUUUAUCGUUGCAGUUCUGAAAUACCUGAGUUUAGUACGCCGACAUCGAAAAUCUCUUUUAUGCAGUUCAUUGGUGAGAUAACCUCGACGCCACCCAGUACUGGGGCGGGAGUUCGGGAGUAUUGCCAUAACUUGUAUAACGGAUGCUUUUCGAAGGUUGAGGUAGAUGGUUUCCGAAGGUUUCUUGGUUAUGUGUUGAAGGAUGGAUACAUCUGGAUGCAGGAUUUGCUAGUUUGGGUGAGAUAUUAUGCUUCCCCUGUAUCCCCAACACCUGAUUGCAUAACCGGUUCGGGAGUUUCAUAGGUGGGAAUUCAAGUAGCUCUUAGGAUAUCUUUCCGACAGAUGUAUGAUAUGAAAUUGGGGUUCGACGUCUAGUGGUUCGCCUAUUCACGGUCGAUUUUACAGUGGUCUCGUUGUGUCUUAAAGAGUCCUUGGCUAUGCUGACUCGGGGACGCUUCGUAUGUCAUGUGCACUGCCUUGUACAUGAUGGUGUUGUACGAUCGAGCCCGUGUAGGUCCCACCACGAAAACUUCAGACGAAAUCUCUAUCAUAUGUUUGCUCCGGCUUAUUUUGCAAGCCAAUCCUUUAAUUUUGUUUUGAGUUGUGGUAUUCGAGUUGCUUCGAAGUCAAAUGUUGAUUCCAUACCUUCCCCAAAUGGUGUUCUCAUAUUCCUAUGUGAAUACUAAUCCUUCUUGAUCAUCAAGAUUGUUUUGCCAAUCCUUUUUAAUCGGUGUGCUUCUCUUCAAGUGGAUCCGAUCAUUUUAACUUCCGCAAGAUCAAAUAUCAGUUUCUUCUCAAUGGUGUUUGUUUCAUCCAUCUCCAAGUUGCCUUUGUUUUUCCCACCCUCCCACCCUUGUUUUCUUCAAGGAUUCAGAUUUCUUAAUCACUAUCCAUUUUAUUGAUGGAAGUCCCUCCGUUCUAUUUCCUUCAAUGUUCGUAUCCGGUGUUUCUCAUGAAGAUUCUAACGGAGCUUCAAUUUCGUCAUUCUUCAUUCUUUUUCUUCUCCGGUGNNNNNNNNNNNNNNNNNNNNNNNNNNNNNNNNNNNNNNNNNNNNNNNNNNNNNNNNNNNNNNNNNNNNNNNNNNNNNNNNNNNNNNNNNNNNNNNNNNNNNNNNNNNNNNNNNNNNNNNNNNNNNNNNNNNNNNNNNNNNNNNNNNNNNNNNNNNNNNNNNNNNNNNNNNNNNNNNNNNNNNNNNNNNNNNNNNNNNNNNNNNNNNNNNNNNNNNNNNNNNNNNNNNNNNNNNNNNNNNNNNNNNNNNNNNNNNNNNNNNNNNNNNNNNNNNNNNNNNNNNNNNNNNNNNNNNNNNNNNNNNNNNNNNNNNNNNNNNNNNNNNNNNNNNNNNNNNNNNNNNNNNNNNNNNNNNNNNNNNNNNNNNNNNNNNNNNNNNNNNNNNNNNNNNNNNNNNNNNNNNNNNNNNNNNNNNNNNNNNNNNNNNNNNNNNNNNNNNNNNNNNNNNNNUUCCUAUGUGAAUACUAAUCCUUCUUGAUCAUCAAGAUUGUUUUGCCAAUCCUUUUUAAUCGGUGUGCUUCUCUUCAAGUGGAUCCGAUCAUUUUAACUUCCGCAAGAUCAAAUAUCAGUUUCUUCUCAAUGGUGUUUGUUUCAUCCAUCUCCAAGUUGCCUUUGUUUUUCCCCCCCUCCCACCCUUGUUUUCUUCAAGGAUUCAGAUUUCUUAAUCACUAUCCAUUUUAUUGAUGGAAGUCCCUCCGUUCUAUUUCCUUCAAUGUUCGUAUCCGGUGUUUCUCAUGAAGAUUCUAACGGAGCUUCAAUUUCGUCAUUCUUCAUUCUUUUUCUUCUCCGGUGGAUUCAAUUCAAACUUCGGUAUUGAGCAUUGUCUUUUCUUUUGUCCAAUGCUUUUCUUAUGCCGGUGCACCUCAUUAUCAUUCCAUUUCUCGCUAUUCAUUUAUUCCGGAGUGCCCAAGAUAUUUCGAAGAUUCAUGUUACCACUCUUCUUUCAUUCAAGCUAUUUCGAGGAUGUUAUAUCAUUCAAGCCUUUUUAUUCGACCGGUGCAUUCUCCUUUUCAACUAAUCGUUCAACGGUGUUUCUUUUGAGUGGGCCCUAACCCACAGGUCUUUUUCCAGGAUCUUACCUGACUCUUCUUAUUUUCCGGAGCUAUCAAAAUUAUUUUCGAAGUUUGACGUAAGAAUGAUUUAUCAUCAGUCAAAUGUUCUCUCCAAGAUCUGUCGAAUUCUUUUCAUCGUCGGCUCAACCUUUUCCAUUAUUCAUUCCGGAGUGCCUCACUAAUUCAUGGUGGUGUUUCUCGUCGUCAUUCUUGGAUUUUGAAGACCAAAGAAGAGUUUCUCUUUAAUCUUGCUCCAUUCUCUUCAAGAUUCGUGAUUCUAUCUUGUUGCCAUCAUCUCAUAAUUGUUCGAUUGUGAGAAUUCUUUUAUCCAUCCGGGGCAAUUCAGGAGCCUUUUCAAUUUGUUCAUCCGGAGUCCAUCAAUUCAGAUUUACUAAUUCUCAGCUUUCACUUAUCAUUCUCCGAUCUUACCGGUGCAGUGUUCAAGUGAUCUCUAAUCGGUCCAUGAUCUAUUAUAUUCACUUGUAUCUAAAUUCUCUCAAGCAUCUUCGUCCAUUUGCAAAUUCUUCCCGGUGUUUCCUUAUCUUUACUUUGUUCAUAAUCAAUUCUUCCGGUGGUUCGUUCAACACCUUCCCAAGUCUGAUGUUAUAUCUCUCUUAAUCUUUUCUACAAGAAUAAGUAAUAUGCCAAAUCCGUUUAUUGUCAUCAAUUUAAAUUGGUGAAGGAUAAGCAUAAUGUAAUUCUUACUCUUGUUUUGUCCAAGUGAUUGAUUCCUUAUUCCGGAGGUGCAUCAUAUCACAUUCUUGGUUCGAGUUGCUUUAUCUUUUCUUUCCCAAGAGUUCCAACCUCUUUCUAUUAUAGUAUCACGGAGAUCUCUAUCUAAAUCAUUGCGAGGCUUCAAUCUUAUUCUUUUCAUCAUUCAAUUAUUUUGGAUCAUUCUUUUAUUACCGGAGUUCUUCAUGAAUGUUCUACAUGAUGGUUCUUCAAGGAUUUAAUUCCUUCUCGAAGUGUUCAUUGAGAUUCUUUUCAAAGGAGCUCAAGCUUUCUUCAUCUUGCUAUCCGGAGUGCAAUUCUUUCUUCCAUGUUAUUGGAGGUGGUAUUAUAUCAUUCUUGAUAAUUUCAGUUCUUGUUUUCAUGAUUUCACAUGUUGUCAAGAUUGGGAUAUUUUAAACCCAUCAAUCUCGUCAUUGGAGCUAUCUUGGGUUAUAUUUCACCUAAAGACUUCCCUAAGGAUUGUUGCUAUCUAUGGUGUUUAUAAAGGACCCAAGUUCUUCUUUUAUCCUCCCGGUGAAAUAAGUUUCUCGUCUCUUUGUUCUUGUCAAUCCAAUUCUUUUCCCGUGAGUGGCAGGUUUUUCAUCUCUUAAUUUGAGAGGUAUUCCAUAAGACCAUAUCAAGCUUAUUAUUUUCGUUGUUGGUUUUCCAACAACUCCGUUCAACCCUUCUCCUAGAGAUGCCUUUUCAGGCUCUUUUGUAGCAGAAGUUGGCAUUGUCUUCUACAUUCGCUUGUCUCAAUUAUCUUUACUCUACUCUUUUGUUCCGGAGGCAUGGUGAUGUUGCUCUCUUCAACCCGUCUUCUUGUUUUAUCAGGAUCGUGUUCUUGUCGUGCCCAUCCUUCUAAUUGGAGUGUUGUGUCCUCUUUCAAGUAUCCUCUCAUCUUGUCAAGUUCAAUUCCUUCCAUUUACAGACGGAGUGCUGUCCAAAUUAUAUCACUCUUAUUCCUUCCCUAUCUUGCUUAACCGGAGUAUUGUGCCCCUUUGUUCAAGUUCUUUUCGCAUUAUCAAGUCUUGCAUCCCUUUCUCAACCAGAGUGUCGUGUUUUCAUUUGAGCUCUCUCAUUUUAUCAAAUUUUGACUCCCUUCUCAACCAGAGUGCUGUCCGAGAUAUUUCUUACCCUUUGUCCCAUCCAUUCAAUAGUUAUGGAGGCAGUGUGUUGUGAUUUCAUCAAGUAUCUUCUCAUCUUAUCAAGACCUUAUUCAAUUCUUUUCUUUUCAACUGGAGUGCUGCCCGAAUUUGGUUUUUCCUUGAUCCCCUUCCUUAACCGGAGUGUUUUCAAUAUAUAUCUUCCCUUCAACCUCAAGGUUUCGCAAUGCUCUUGGUCACUCGUUUCUAACGGAGUGUUUUCGACCUUGUUCACCUUCGUUGUUUUCUUUUCUCGAAUUUGUUUAACCUCUCAAGGUUCUUGGUUUUCACUCGUUUGUCAAAGAAGCAACUUAGCUUUACCUCUUCUUUUUCCCUUCCGUUGUUUCCCCGGUGCCAUUCUAGAUCUCGGGACGAGAUCCUCUCGUAGUGGUGGAGUGUUGUAACGCCCCGAGACCGAUGUGCCAGGUGUCCUCCAGUUAUUCGUUGUCGUUGCCAUGUCAUUCGCUUGCGUGUUGCAUCUCAUCAUGUCAUCAUGUGCAUUGCAUCAUCAUGUUUUCAAAACUUGCAUCCGUCCCGGCCUCCUCGUUCUCUCCGUUGUCCGUUCUGAACCCAGACGCACUUGCACACGCCCGUGGCAUGUCCGAGAUAUUAUUUUUAUAAGUGGCCGAAAAAUCUUCUCGGAAUGGGUUGAAAGUUGUCGUGCGGUGUUGUUUUGUUGUUAGUAGACCACCUGUCAAGUUUCAUCGCAAUCGGAGUUCGUUUGAUGCCCCAACGGAUAAUUAUAGCGGCAAUAGUAGCCGGUCUUUUCGUCGGACGUUUUCGGUCUCCGGAAACAGUCGCCGGGUCUCUCUCUUCUCUUCUCUCAGCUCAAGACCGUCUACUCAGCCCACUACUCCACCACCAGGUCCUACCUAACCUCUCUCGUCAGCCCGCAACCCUCCUCGCGCGCGCGCCCGAAAGCUGUCCCGGACCCGACUCCGGCUGUCGCUACCGUUGUGUCCGGAUCAUCCCCUAACAUCUACAAAACGUCACCGUUUUCUUAUUUGGACCCCGUAACCUAUUUAUCUGAGACCGUCCGAUUUUAAUCAAGGGACCAAAUGCCUCUAUCCAAAAAUCCUUUUGCGAUAUAAAUCAGACCAGACCCUAAAUUUUAGGCCUCAUGUCCCAUCCAUCCCAUCAUUGCGCCGCCAUCCUCUUUGGAUCCCGCAGCGCCUCCCCUGGUCUCCUCCUCGUUAUCCCCAUCGACCCAAUCCCCUUCCUUGGGAUCCAUCCCCUCCCGAUCCACCUACCACAGCCAGUGGCCCCAGCCUACCAUGCCUCCACCUCCCGCAGCGCUCGAUCCGAUCUGGAUCGAGGCAACCGCCUCUGCCCGAGAGCCUUCCUCGACCCGCGCUCCACCACCAUGCCGGCGAGCACCACCACCGAAGCUGCUCUGUUCCUCGCCUGAAACCACAGGUCGUCCUCGUCGCCCCUUUCUUCUCCUUCCCGUGCUCCUCCCUUUCUCCCUCUCUCAUCUCUCUCUGUUCUCCCUUUCUCUGUCGACAGGAGCAUCCCCGCGCCAUGGCCUUGCUGAGCUCUGCCUGCACCAGUGCCUCAAGCCGCCACCGUUCGCUCCAGAUCCGGCCCCUCCGUCAGAUCUCGUCGUCCCAGUUCCAUUCCGGCCGCUUCCCGCCGACCCCGCCGCCAGGAGCUCACGUCAAGCGCCGUUGCCUCCCCUGCCGACUGGAACCCCGCCCGAUCCAAUGGCGCGUAGCACCGCUGCCGCCCGAAGACUCCUCGACCCCGUCGUCGACCAAAUCCGCGUCUGCCCUGCGCCGCCUUGCCUUCCUCACCUUCAUCUCGCCGGAUGGAGCAGCCGCUGCGCCCAUGCCGUCGCCGUUGCUUCGUCUCUGUCGAGCAGAGAAUGAAUAGCGAACGCGCGCUCCUACCUGCGUUGACCGAGGCCGUGCCAGGCCCAGAUCCCGCCAGCGUCCGCCACGCGCAUGGGCCUCUUUGCCUCUCCAAGGCCCAGCGCCUCCCUUCACGGCCUGCAUCUUCCUCCGACUGGGCAAGGCCCAUGGGUGAGAAGCCCUAGCGUAUCAGGAUGAUUUUUUCCCCGUUGUUGGGCAGCAGUUUCGGCCCAUGUAGUUUUUUUUGUAGGCUCUGCAAUUUUCCUAUUUAUUCAGUGACUGCAGUUUUUCAGAAAAACCCUUGCACUUCAUGCAUAUCCUAACUAAUUAACCGUGCAUCGGAUUAAAACAAUUUAUAUAUGAAACUUGCUCAGAAUUUUGUGUAGAUUAAUAAUAUCUAACUUUCAGCCAUGUUUAAAAUGUUUAAAAUACUGUUUGGUUAAAUUUGCUCAAAUUGCCAUGUUAAAAUGAUUUAAUUCAUAGCUAAAUAACCGUAACUCGGAAUUUAAUAAACUUUAUAUGUAAAUGGGGUAGAAUUUUGCCUAGUUUAACAUGGUGGCCUCAUCUUGCAUGUUUAACAACUCUAAAAUAUAGUUUAGGGCAGAACAGGACCUAACCUUAAAUUAUGCAGAUGAGGAUUUUUUUUGGAAUUGUUGUCGUUGUUUCCGGCCUCAUUUAAAUUUGCCUAGAUGGGUAGUUUUGUUGUGCUUCACCUCUUGCCAUGUUAAUCAACAUUUAAUAUUGUUGGGUACAUAAACGAGAGUGAACUAAAUAAUUGAUGUGGUGUUUCGUCAAUAUGCAACUCGUUGCAUAUUGAGCUCCACUUAAUUUGUAGGAUUGUUUAUGCAUUUUGCCAUGCCAUGCCUCUUUAAACCGGACAUGCAUCAUACUUGAUUGUGCAUCAUGCCAUGUUGAUGUGUUGGUUGUUUACUAUGUUGUGUGCUUCUUUUCCGGUGAUCGCUUCUUCGGGUUGGUUCCGGUAACGUCGAGUUUGUGAGGAUCCGUUCAACUUCGUUCGUUUGUCUUCUUCAUGGACUCGUUCUUCUUCCUUGCGGGAUUUCAGGCAAGAUGAUCAUACCCUCGAAAUCACUACUAUCUUUGCUAUGCUAGUUUGCUCGCUCUUUUGCUACGCCAAUGCUACGAUGCCUACCAUUUGCUUGUCAGCCUCCCAAUUGCCAUGUUCAGCCUCUAACCCACCAAUGUCCUAGCAAACCGUUGAUUGGCUAUGUUACCGCUUUGCUCAGCCCCUCUUAUAGCGUUGUUAGUUGCAGGUGAAGAUCGAAGUUUGUUCCUUAUUGGAACAUGGAGAUCGUUCCUUGUUGGAACAUUUAUUUACUUGUUGGGAUAUCACAAUAUAUCUUAUUUAAUUAAUGCAUCUAUAUACUUGGUAAAGGGUGGAAUGCUCGGCCUUAUGCCUGGUGUUUUGUUCCACUGUUGCCGCCCUAGUUUCCGUCAUAUCGGUGUUAUGUUCCCGGAUUUUGCGUCCCUUACGCGGUUGGGCUAUAAUGGGAACCCCUUGACAGUUCGCCUUAAGUAAAGCUUUUCCAGCAAUGCCCAACAUUGGUUUUACCAUUUGCCACCUAGCCUUUUCCCUUGGGAGUCGCGCAUCCCGAGGGUCAUCUUUAUUUUAACCCCCCCGGGCCAGUGCUUGUCUAAGUGUUGGUCCGAACUGAGUAGACUGCGGGGCCACCUCCGGGAAACAUGAGGGCUGGUUUUACUCGUAGGAUGUCUCAUCCGGUGUUGCCCUGAGAACGAGAUAUGUGCAGCUCCCAUCAGGAUGUCGGCGCAUCGGGCGGUGUUGCUGGUUUAGUUUUACCCUGUCGAAAUGUCUUGUUGUACCGGGAUACCGAGUCUGAUCGGAACGUCUCGGGUGGGGGUCUAUUCCUUCGUUGACCGUGAGAGCUUGUCAUGGGCUAAGUUGGGACACCCUGCAGGGAUUUGAACUUUCAAAAGCCGUGCCCGCGGUUGUGGGCAGAUGGGAAUUUGUUAACGUCCGGUUGUAGAAAACGUGAAGUUGACCUUAAUUAAAAUGAAUCAACCGUGUGUGUAACCGUGAUGGUCUCUUUCCGGCGGAGUCCGGGAAGUGAACACGGUUGUUGGAGUUAUGCUUGACGUAGGUAGUCCAGGAUCACUUCUUGAUCAUACUUUUAUCGACCGUGCUUUGCCUUCUCUUCUCGCUCUCAUUUGCGUAUGUUAGCCUCCAUAUAUGCUAGUCGCUUGCUGCAGCUCCACCUCAUAUCUUUACCUUACCCAUAAGCUUAAAUAGUCUUGAUCGCGAGGGUGCGAGAUUGCUGAGUCCCUGUGGCUCACAGAUACUUCCAAAACCAGCUUGCAGGUGCCGAUGAGUCCGUGCAGAUGACGCAACCAAGCUCAGGAGGAGCUCGAUGAAGAUCUUGUCCUUUAUGUUGUUUCGUUCUAGUUGAUCAAUAGUGGAGCCCAGUUGGGGUCGAUCGGAGACCUUUGUCGCAUUUGGGGUUCUUCUUUUAUUUUGGUUCCGUAGUCGGACCAUGAGUGUAUUUGGUUGAUAUAAUGCUUUAUUCAUGUAAUUGUGUGAAGUGGCGAUUGUAAGCCAACUAUGUAUCCUUUCCCUUAUUUAUUACAUGGGUUGUGUGAAGAUUACCUCACUUGCGACAUGUGCCUUCAAUGCGAUUAUGCCUCUAAAUCGUGCCUCGACACGUGGGAGAUAUAGUCGCAUCGAGGGUGUUACAUAGGGCGCGCCCCCACCCUCGUGGAUGGUGGGUGCCCCCCCUCUGGUGCUUUCUUCGCCCAAUAUUUUUUAUAUAUUUCAAAACUGACUUCCGUGGAGUUUCAGGAUUUUUGGAGUUGUGCAGAAUAGGUAUUUAAUGUUUUCUCCUUUUCCAGCCCAGAAUUCCAGCUGCCAGCAUUCUCCCUUUUCGUGUAAACCUUGUAAAAUAAGAGAGAAUAGAUAUAAGUAUUGUGACCAAGGUUGUCAGAAUCGUGAUUUUGAAUCGAAUCGGAGCUCUGAUGGCAGGAUCACAAAUCGUAAAAUCUUCACUAUCAGGAUUGUAGAAACGUAGAUUCCAUGAAUUAAAAUCGUAGAAUCAGAGCGGUAAGUUUGGAUCGUGAAGUCGUAGAAUCGUAUAACAGAAUCGGGAUUCUGACAACCUUGAUUGUGACAUAAUGUGUAAUAACAGCCCAUAAUGCAAUAAAUAUCGAUAUAAAAGCAUGAUGCGAAAUGGACGUAUCAUCGCACAAUUAAGUUUUCCACCACACAAUUAAACUGCUAAUCUAUCUAUGUACUCCCUCCGUCCCAAUAUAUAAGAACGUUUUUUCCACUAUGCUAGUGUUAAAAACGUUCUUAUAUUUUGGGACAAAGUGAGUACAUAUCAGGCCCGCUCACUUUUGUCUUUGUUUCUGGAAGGGGGAUUUGCACUCGCAACCUUUCGAUGUAACCGCUCGGCUCUAGCUAGCAGGCUAUCGACCUGCGACUAUAAAGGUUGUUCAUUUUUUUAUCUUUAUUUAGUUCUUCAGAUUGGUUUAUUCUUUUUUCUUUUUCUCAGCUUUUUUGUGUUUCCUCAUUGCGUGGGUUUUUUAAUUCGUGAACUUUUUCGUUAAAUUUGUGAACUUUUUUUCGAAAAUCAUUGACCUUUUUUAUAAAUCGUUGAACUUUUUUUCAAAUUCUAUGAUCAAAAUUUUCAAAUUCUAUGAACUUUUUCAAAUUUGAUGAAUUUUUUUAAAUUUGAUGAAUUUUUUUCAAAUUUGAUGAUUUUUUUCGAAAUUUGAUGGUCUUUUUUAAUUUGAUGAUUUUUUUAGAAAUUCAAUGAACAACCUUUUCAAAUUAUAUGAACUUUUUCAAAUUUAAUGAAAUUUUUUCAAGUUCAAUGAACUUUUUUCGACUUCAUGAACUUUUUUUUUUCAUUUUUAUGAACUUUUCCUUUUCAUUUCAUGGAUUACAUGAAUGCCUUUUCAACUUUAUGUUUUCUUUAUUCAAAUAAUUUAUAGGGGGUAUGAAGUACUAGUGUAUGUUUAAUUGUACUGUACAAAAGAUUAAGGGGUGUUUGUUUCCGGGGACUUUUUUGUGCAGGGAUUAGAAAAAGUUCCUCUUAGAGACUUUUUUACCAAACGGGAGGGACUUUUCAGAGAUUAAACUAGGCAUUUGGGACUAAAUAAAAAAGACUCUCAGGAAGAGUCUUUUUAGGACUUUUUGGGACUUUUUCAACAAUGCCCCUCCAUGCACCCAUUGGCCCGUCACCCCAUGGUGUUGUUUGACUGUUAUUUUUUAUAUACUAGGAGUAACAUGGUCAUUUAAUAACCUCUAAGAAGGGACUAGGGACUUUUUAGUUUCUGAAACAAACAGGGAGAAACUUUUUAGGGACCAGUGACUUUUUAGUUGAGAUUAGAAAAAGUUUUAGGACUAGAGAACCAAACACCACCUAAAGAGCUGUGUUUCCCUCAAGUAAUUGGUAGACCCGGGUUGGUGCAGUGGUUAAACCUUGUGGGCAUUUACAUGGGUGUGACGAGUUCGAAUCCUGCUUCUUUGGCGCGACAGGCGCUUAAAGCGCUGUAUACGAGGUCUUGUUCUUUUGUCUCCACACGCCCGUGUUCUUUUUUGAGUCUGUGCCCCAUAGUUGUUAUAUGGGCCUGUGUUUGUGUGGAGUGCGAUUCCCUUUUUUGUUUUUUAGUUUUUGCCCGGUGAAUAAUUGGAAGAGCCCAACUCCAUUUUUUAUACUCGUGACGGUGAGCCUUCUCUCACUCCCAUUCCCCACUCUCUUUCCAUUCUCAUUCUCAUUCCCAUUCUCCAUUUUUCUUUUUCUUAAAUUUAUGAAUAUAUUUUAUAAAAUAAACAUUUAUAAAUUCAAGUAAUUUUUUGUAUAAACAAUUUUUAUACUAGUGAUUAUUUUUAUUUUUUAUGUGCUUUUCAUUUUCAUUUUCAUUUUUCUGUUUCAUUAUUUUGUUUAAUUUAUAUUUUUUAUACUCGCUAGGGCUUCUGAUUUGGGCCCGUUUGGGCUUGAACGGGCCACGACGUGCUGCUGCCCUGCAUCUCCUCUAAUCCGUCGAUGACAAGUGGCUUCUGGGCUAGACCCGCAACAUGAGGACGCCGGGGACUCCGGCCCUGGGCACGGCAGUGGUGGCCACCUCCUUCGCCGAAGGUGGUUAAUCGGCUGGUUGUGGCAUCACACGUCCAGUCCCAACGACGAGUGGGGAGGCGAUGUGCCGGUGAAAACAGUGAUAUGACUCCGGUCAUGGCGGGCAAUGGCGGCGUUUUCGCGUCAUUAUUUUAUUGAAGACAUCGCCACUGUAGCUACCGUUGACUUACUUGCACUGCUCCGGGUGAGAUCCUAGACUCGGGUUUCCUGGAUCGGAAGAUGUCGGCACUUUAGGCGCCGUUCUCCCUCAUGGGGGCAUCAUUUUUGGAGCAGCUGCUGGAUGGAGGAGACACGUGGUGGAGCGGUGUUCAUCUACCUCGUCCAUGACAGCGACUCUCGGCGGCAUGGUGAAGUAAGGUCUUGGCGUUGGAUGUGGAUGCAUAGACUCGCACAGGGCGGAAGUGUUGUCUGACGGCGUGGCGACGUCGACGGAAGGCCUGAAAUGGUCGAUGCGUCAGUACCUGCUCUGAAGAUGGAUCAGUGGGACAUGGUGGCGACGGCCUCUGCAGCGUGCGCAUGCGGUGCACGCUGAGAGUGAACCGGACUUGUGUGUGUGACCUGACAGGAUCAUAGGAAGGCCCAUCUCUGUACCUGUCAGAACUCAAAGUAACUAUGAUCUUGCUGUAUCUUCCCAGUGAACUGCCCGUCCAUCAGAGCAUUGCCUCUAUUGCAGAGUUGUGAAGCCUUCGGUGGCGUUGCUGAGGCAAUAGCUAGGGGUUCGUUUGAGACGUCCCCUGAGAGCGGCGUGGUCAUCCAGACUCUUUGUUAACCCUUCACAUUAAUCUCAUGUGUAUAGCUCAACUCUAGACGCUAAAAAAUAUGGUGAACAUAGGUAAGCUCAUGGGACCACUCUUUUGUCGAAUUGAGGAGCUCUUCACUCCCUAUUUUCAAUGUAGAGAAUCGACAAAACAUGGGAUCACCCAUCACUUGAUUUUAUUUAUUUAUUAUCAAUUUGGUACUCCCUUUGUGCUUUUGCAUAUUAACUUCGACUGAAGUAAAACCUUAUAAACUUUGAUCAAGUUUAUAGAAAAAAUUUAUUAACAUAUACAAUGCCGAAUCAAUAACAUCACCAUUGAACAUUUUUUUCGCAUCAUAUAUAUUUGUUAUUUUAAAUGUUCAUAUUAUUUCUUGUAAACUUGGUCAAACUUUAUAAGGUUUGACUUUAGACAAAUCUAAUAUAAGGUGUAAUAUAAAUAAAAAUGGAGGGAGUACAUAUAUAUUUGAGUGUCAAUUGUCAAAACUACACUUAUUUUAAUUUAUGUACCUCACUAUUAUUUCAAGUCCUCAGACAAACAAAAUAUUUCUGAGAGCUCACAAGCUAUUGCUUAUAUGUUUUCCUUCAACUAUUCAAGCUCAAAACUAAUAUACUAGUGAUCUUUCCAUUAAAUCUAAGAUUGAUUAGUCGCCUUGUUUCGCCGGCGGAUCAGCGCCUCCUACCUCCUUUAGUGGCCUCGCCGGUGUCGGAGUGAACUGGAGUAGGGCCUGAUCUACCUGUUAGACUUGUGUACCGUAGGUAGGUUGUAGCUAGGGUUCUACCAUCCGGCGGUUCAUCCUUUUGGCAUGGCAACAGCAUUGGAGUAGUUUGUCUUCCCCUGUUCCAUCUCUAUCUCCGACGACGCUUCUCUUCCCGAUGUUGUUGUUGGUUCAAUGGGGAGGAAUAAAGUUUCCUCCGGCUCUGGUGGUGCUAGUGGUGCCAGAUUUGUUGAUGUUUCUGAGUGGAUUGGUCUACCGAGGGUUGGGGUUGGAGGCGAGGAGCUGUUGGUGUUGGUUGUGCUUUGUGCAGGAGUGGAUCCAGAUUCGUCUUCCUCUUCUCCGUUGGUGAGGGAGAAGAUGAGGUGUUGCCGGUGAUGCUUGCGGUUUGCCACAUCUUUGACGUGCUGGUCCGGAAGGGCCUAAGCUUGAAGACUUCCCGUUCGCAGAAAAUUCAUCCGCAGAUUCCAAGAUCACGUCGGCUCUGGGAGGGAGCGGCGCGCCCUCAAGUCGGGGCGGUUGUUGUGUCUUGGUCGGCUCCAUAGGGACCCGGGUGUAAUUUCAUCCUUUGUUGGGGUUCGUUGUAUCACUAAAAAUCCUUAAUAAAUCUGGGGUCCUUUUUACAAAAAGAUCUUCAAUCGAAUGUUUAAAAAGUAGUCAAAGCUCUCUUGUAUCACCCUCAGAUGUUUUAAAAUUCAAUGUGGAUGGAGCUCAUAUGGGAGUGAUUGCCAGGAACAGCGAGGGCAAGGUGAUUGCUGCCAGAGUGGGGCGUGUUGAGCAUGCCAUUCAUGCCUUCGGUACAUAACUGAGAGCAGUGGAGAAGGCCAUCAACGUGGCGGCUGAGCUUGUUGUGGUUUGACCGGUGAUUGAAACUUAUGCCUUGCUGGUCGAGCAAGGCCUUAAUAGGCGUACCCCAGAUUUCUCAAGAGAAGCCUAGGUGAUUGAAGACGUCAAGGUCCAGGCCAGGCUUUGGUUUACCUCGUGUGAAUUGGCCUACCAUAAGCGUUGAUGGAGGGCUACUUUUCUUCAGUGGCAAGUGCUUUUUUUUUUGCGGAAAAUCUUCCGAUCUAUUCAUCUUCAAAUCAUGGCAGUACAACGAAUACAAAAAAUAAUAAAAAUUAUAUCCAGAUCCGUAGACCACCUAACGACGACUACAAGCACUAAAGCGAGUCGAAGGCGCGCCGUCGUAAUUGCCCCUCCAUCGUCAGAGUCGGACACAACUUAUUGUAGUAGACAGUCGGAAAGUCGUCGUGCUAAGGCCUCAUAGGACCAGCGCACCAGAACAGCAAUUGCCGCAGAUGAAGACUAACAUAAAUCGGAAGGAUUCAAUCCGAAGACAUACGAACGUAGACAAACACCAACGAGAUCCGAGCAAAUCCACCAAAGAUAGAUCCACCGGAGACACACCUCCACACGCCCACCAACGAUGCUAGACGCAUCACUGGAACAGGGGCUAGACGGGGAGACCUUUAUUCCAUCUUCGACGAUUGCUACUUUAUGUCUUUAGAUUUUAAUCAUGUCAUCUAUGAUCAUUGUAAUAAAGAGAACAAUAUGGUGGCUCAUGAGUUGGCUAGAAUAGCUAGAUUCUCCCCUCCUAGUGUUUGGUUGGAAUCGCCUCCUGUUAAUAUGAUACCUUUUGAUUGUAAACGACACAACCCUAGUGACAAUUGAAUAAAGGAGGAUGAUUUUAUAUAAAAAAAGGUUUAUCUCUCCCUAGUUGAGUAUGAUUGAAUAUAUCAAUUUCAAGGUAUGAGAUUGCUAACCGGUCCUGUCGCCCGGUCUCUCCCUAGUUGAGUAGUUCUUGUUUUAGACGAUAAAAUGUUCAUGCUUGUGUAGCUGAAUUUAUUUUGAGCGAUUUAGCCCAGACUUUCGUAAUAAAGGGUGAUGCUUGCCCCUCCCCAAAAAAUUCAAUCUCCCGAUAUAUUUCGGCUACCCGUCGUUGGACCCCCGUUUGGUGUCCCGAGUCCUCGUCCUCCCCUCCGUGCUGGACCAAAACUAGGGUUUCCGAGCUACCUUCCCAUCCUCCGGCGGCCCGAUGGCCGGUGGCGCGACGGACAAGUGCCAGAGCAGCGCGGGUCCUCGCCCUAAUCAGCCAAUCCUUGAGUCCCGUCAGAGUCAGGAGGUGGCCACGCCAUCUUUGCCGAUCCGGGAUGAACUCCUGGAGGAUAUUUUCCUCCGGCUGCCUACGCCAGCCGAUCUCGUCUGUGCCUCCGCCACCUGCGUCUCCUUCGGACGCGUCAUUGCCAACUGCUCCUUCGUCCGGCGCUUCCGCAAGCUCCAUGCCCCGCCUCUCCUCGGCUUCCUCGACAGAUGCAUGGUCUUUCGUCCCGUUGUAGCGCCGCACCGCCACGCGCUAGGGUUGGAUAAUAUGCCCCUCUUUACUUUCGAUUGGAUGAUUUACCCUGCUUUUCUUUUUCCAGUGGAUAAUAUGCCCUUUUUAAUUACUGUAAUCAUUUUUCAGUUUUUAUCCCAAUUAUCACCAUGCGAAAUGACUCGACCGCCCUUGUGGCAAAUUGCAAUUAUGUCCUAGUCUCCUUCCCCGUGUCGGACUGUUGGUCUUUGCUUCCACUGAACAGUCCAUCUCCCCAGUUCAUCCCCUUUCUUCCGUUCCUCUCUCUCCCCACUGUACAUGUACUGAAGUGAGAUCCUGGAGGAGGCCGACGAGGACACCUUGGACCCCAUCUUGGCGGCGGCUACCGCUGCAGCUCGGCGGCGGGGGGCAGCCGUUAAACUCGGAGACGCGGGCUGCCUCCUGCAGGUCGCAGGUGCUGCAGCUCCUCUGCAUCUCGGCGGCCCUGUAGCUCCGCUGCAGCUUGGAGCUGCGGAAUAGGCGGAUGGCGCCGUCGUUGCAGCUGCCACUACCUGCCGUAGGUGGCGUCUGGUCCGCUGCGCCGGCACUCAGCAAGGGAGGCUCCAGCAAGACCACAUCGGCAGCCGUUGUCGCUCAGGUAAAAAAUCCAUCGGUGCUUGAUGCAUCUGUACAAAUGUUUGUGUGAGCUUGUUGCUACUACGCUACUAAUAGCAAGCCUGAAUGACAUUGUUGGUAGUAAUUAGCAGCUGGGCAUGCUCCAAUUGUCGGGCUGGGUACGCUGAAGUGCAUUUUCUAAUUAAACCACAGGUCAGGCAUCUAUAUAUGAUGCUAUGCAUCCUUACAUAUGCACUUUGGUAGAACUUGGCAGCAUAUAACAACUUCAUAGAUAAAAAAAUUAAACUGACAACAAGUAUCCACUUAGUACAUGGAAUUCAAUGUCAUAAAAAGGACUGCUCGGUUCAAAUGGCAUAACAGUUUAAUCUGAGUUUACAUCAAGCAAAUUAACAAUAAUUCUGAGUUCGUAUCUCAGAAAUUACAUCUUCUUCCCGGCAAAAUUUUUUUACAUCUUCUUCCUCCUUGGGGUCAUUUUUUUCUUGCAUGCCGUAGAGCUUGAAGGGAUGUAAGAAGUAGGUGAUGGUACAGAAACAUUCGUUGUUCCAGAUGGUUGUGAUGCAUCGCCUUCGGCUAUGGCCAUAGCAAGUCUCCUGCAUGUUUACACAUCAGUUACGAAAGCAGGAUUUCUUUUGCAUGAAUCAAAUGUGCAUAUGGAAAAUAUAAACAGUUACCUCCUUGUAAUAGGCCCAGGGCUGUUAUGAAGGCUGGGAGGCACUGUGAUUGUUGUUGUGCGUGUGGGUGUCGCAACAACAGCUGGAGCGAGCUCGUGAGCAGACACGUCGCUAGAAAGUUCAAUCACACAUGACAUUAGAAAUGGUAUACUAAUACUAAUUUCAUACUAAUGUAGAUGAUAUAUAGUAGUAGUAGUAGUACUAGUACAUGGGUUACCUUUUAUUUAGCUUCCUUCUUUUUACAAGUUGCUUUUCUGUGCCCCAAGAUUCCACAUUGUUUGCACCUGUUUUUGGUGCCAAAUCUCUUCUUUUCUUUUUCCUUCUGUUUGGCACCACCUUCUUGCUCAUUUCGUUUGCCAUCAUCAUCUUUUUUCUUCCGUUUGCCACCACCACCGUCUUCAAGGAAACUUUUGAUGCUCUGCUUCCUCCUUCUCCCAACAGAGCUUUUUAAAUCUGGUGGUAUCAUCUCAAAAUCUAGAGUAACUUGAGGCCAUUGAGACUUGUCUGUGAUUGGUUCAAUCUCUCCUGCAUAGGCAGCCCGGAACCUACUCACAGAGUAGUAGUCAUGCACAUAUGGUUGAAAGUUCACAUCUGCUCUCUCUAUAAGAAAUGCAAGUGCAUGCUCACAGGGCUUUUCAAUGUGCUUCCAUUCUAGGCAAGUGCACUCAUAGGUACGUAUUUUGACAACGUGGCUAAGAUUCUUCUUGCUGGUGUCCUUGACCUCACAACUUUCUUCGGUUGAUCUUCCAACAACCAAAUGGUCAAGUUGUCUAGUUCUAUUAUUUAUUUGUUGAAUGAUGGCAGGCAGCGUCUCUCCCUGGAGCAUUUCCCCAAUCCUUCUCCUCCUCUCAACAAGUAUCAUAAUUUUCUCUCUUAUUUUGUCUGCUAGCUCAUCCAUGGGCAGAUCCUUUGUUCCUUUGAUCCAGCUAUUGAAGCACUCAGCUAGAUUAUUGUGAAUGUAAUCACAUUUUAUUUCUGUGUUGAAGUCGCAUCUCAUCCACUUCAAAUUAUGAUAAGUACACAAGUAGGUACUCACUGUAGGUUCAGCUUCGAAAAUCUUGCCCAUAUGGUAGUUAAAUUUUUCUAGACGGUAAGCCUUGGCUGCUGGCCACAUGCGACCAAAAACAUCUCCAUGAAACUUCUUUUGAAGUUUGCCAUUAGAUGCCUAAAGCAUUCCCUUUGCUCAGCUUGAGGAAAAACAAUUUUAACCGCACUCUCUAACUCUUUGCAUGCAUCAGUACAAAUAGCUAGAGUUUGAAGAUGUCCUAUUGCCUUAUGUAGUUGUUGCAUAAACCAAACCCAGUUCUCCUCAGUCUCCGUACCAAAGAAACCAAAUGCUAAAGGAAACAUCCAGUUUUGUCCGUCUAGUGUUGUACAUGCCACCAAUUGACCAUUCCACUUUCCAGUCAAAUGUGUGGAGUCUAUACUGAGAUAUGGUCUACAACCAGCUAAAAGCCAUCAAUGCUUGGCUUAAGUGCCAUAAAAAAUCUCCGGAAAUACACUCCACCUUUUCCCCUCUUGACAUCAACCUCAACAAUGCUACCCGGAGAUCUCUUAUCAAUCUCAGCUUUGAAGUUGAAUAAAUUCUGAAAGCUUUUUCCCCAUGUUCCAUAUAACAUUUUUGCGGCCCUUUCUUUUCCCUUUUGAACAAUAUCAUACCCAAUAGUACAUUUGUACUCUGCUUGUAGCUUUUUUAGGAGCUCCAUGCCACCAAUUUUUGGUUCACUUUGAAGAUACCCAAUUGCCUUUUCUGCCACCCAUGCUUGGUCUGCCAUGCUUGUAAUCACUUUGGCGGUUGAUGAACACUUAUGAGGCUUUACUAUCUUGUUAACCUGCACAAUAGCAACCAUUAGGUGCAAGUAAUUUUUAAAAAUUGUUUCAACAUAAAAAAUGAUUAGUGUUAGAUAAGUUUGUACCCUGACUGUUUUUCCAUCUUCUAUCGUUCUAGCAAUUAUAUACGCCAAGGACAUACAUUUCCUUUACAGUGACCCACAUAUCUAGUAGUGUCACUAUCCUUGGUCUUAAUGUCAAACUUACCUCUAAUAGCAAAUAUUCUCAUAAGCAUCCUAAACUCUUUCAUCGAACGAAACAAAGAACCUUCCUCUAUCACAGGAUGUUCCUUAUCAUACCAAAAGUGAUCAUCUUCAGGCAUAUGGUCAGGCACUGGAAGAGCCGCAUCAGCAAGUAAGUCCUCAUUAAUAUCAGCUACACAUGCAUCAACAUUUGCAAUCGAGGCUUUGAUGGCUGCUUCAGAUACACAUUUUCGUUGCACAGGUCCAUCGUUGAUUCCAAGCACCGAGCACAUAUUCUCUUCUGUUAUAGGAACAUCAAUUUCGUCAUCAUUCAUUGGUGCUAUCUCUAUCUGAGACCAGUCAAUGCCUCCUUCUGUUGUUGAUACAUAUGUAUCAUUGCUAGCAACCGUCGUUCGCCUACUUGGAGAAGAAAUAAGCAUUUUAACACAAGGACAUCAUACAAUUACUUACAAAAUAUUACAUCAAAAAAUAAAAACUAUGCUAGAUCUGAAGUAUUUUUUCAGGCUUCAUCUGAGUUUACUGUACUUUCUAUGCAGGUUCAUCAACGCCAUAUGGGAGGGAGGGUCUGAGGCGGAAGGGAGGACCAAAUGCUUACCAAUCUGGAGCCUCUUGUGGCGAUCCAUGGAUACAGGAGUUGCCUCGUCUGGCACUAUGUGGAAUCACCUUGCCGGCUGCUGGUGUGAACCCUCGCUGCCCAGGGGUCGCCGGAGUUGAUGGCUUGGUGGCCGUUGUGGCCGCCGGAGUUGACGGCUUGGUGGCCGGCUGUCCCGGGGGCGCCGGAGUUGACGGCUUGGUGUCCGGCUGUCCAGGGGCCGCCGGAGUUGACGGCUUGGUGGCCGGCGGUGCAUCCGCCUGUCCGCUGGGCAUGAACAUGAUGAUGCAACGUAAUAGAAUCAAUCUACGAUUUCUUGAUCAGUUGGUUCUGUUGUGUAUACCAACGUAAAGAGGGAAGGAGACUAGGAAAUAAUUGCAAUUUGCCACAAGGGCAGUCGGGUCAUUUCGCAUGGUGAUAAUUGGGAUAAAAACUGAGAAAUGAUUACAAUAAUUAAAAAGGGCAUAUUAUCUACUGGAAAAGGAAAAGCAGGGCAAAUCAUCCAACCGAAAAUAAAGAGGGGCAAAUUAUCAACUACCCAAGUAAAGAGCGGCAUAUUAUCCAAUCUCCCCGCGCGGUAGGCGCCGGCGCCUUCGACUUCUCUUUCCUCCCGGCCCCCAUUGGCUGCUGGAUCGUCCGCGACGGCUGCAUCCUUCUCGACAGUCACCUCGAAGAACACAUGGUCUUACCGAAAAAGCUUACGCCCCGCUUUAUAGAUAAAGCAACCGCCAAAGCCAAACAUCCAACAAGAUUCAACAACACAAACACACACAGAUGUCUAGCACACACACAAAGUCAAAUAGGGUUAAUGCUGAGGGCACAGCUCAACAAGCCUUGAAAAAGACAAAAAGCACGCACACGCAAGAACACACGGUCUUCAAGGACAUGGUGGUCUGCGACCCCUUGCACCGGUGAUACCUCCUGCUUCCGGCAAUUCCGGACGAGCUAAGAGCUUGGGUGGAGGAUCCGUACCCAAUAGCAAUGGGGCGAUGGUGCGAUAACUUCCUUGUCCCUCCCAGCGACCAGGACGAGGAGACAGCAGCUACAAAGGGGAUGUCAUUCAGAGUGAUCUUCAUGGCCCAGUGCAAAUUUAAGUUGUUCACGUUUGUCUUCUCUUCCAGCACCGGGCAAUGGCGAGCUGUUCCACCACAAAGUUUGAGUGAAUUGUUUCCUGACUUGUUAGGGCCGGAGCAAGUCUUGGACUCAUGCCAUUACGCGUAUGGAUGCAUUUACUGGAUGAAAUGACUGAACGGAGAAAUAAAAAUGUUGGUUCUUGACACCCGAAGGAUGGACUUCUGCAUUGUUAAACCCCCACCAGAAGCAAGAUAUGCUCAAGAUAUAACCAUGGUGGAGGCAGGGGAAGGCAGGUCUGGGAUGUUUGUGCUUGCACGGGGUCGUAGUCUCGUAGAUAUGAUUAUGACCUCAGUUAUUAUAGCAGUAGGCGAAACAAUGCUGGGAGUUUCAGCCAGUGGCAGUGCGAGAAGACAAUUUCACUAGGUUCUUGGUGCUUCUUGAUAGGUUCAAUGAAGAGGUACUUGCUCCUGUAUCAGGGCAAAAGCUCAUCGUCUGAACCAGGUUGUUACACACUGGAUAUCCAAACAUUUCAACUUGAGAAUGUGUGCCAUGUUACACAUCGGCAUGGUUUCCUUAAGUUGUAUGCAUAUAUCAACUUCCCACCAUCAUUGUUUUCAUUACCGACAAUAUCAAGUGGUAAACUUUCUGCCGCGUCCUUGUUAUCUCUUUUUAAUCACACAGCUUGUCUGAUGCUUGAUAAUUUAUUAUUGUGAUCGACAAUCCUUCGUUACACGACUUAAUUAUGUUACUUAGUCUGUGCUUAUGGGUACGCUAACAAAACUCAGGAGCAUAUCUGCCAUCUUCUUGUUUAAUCUAUUUGCCAUUUUAAGGUUACUAGAUAAUUAAAAGAAAAUAUCUUGCCCACUGUAAGUAGCAUUCUGGAGGCCUCAUGGCGGCAAUUAUCUUGGACAAAUGGUUUGUACGAUCAAGAUAUAGAGAAGGAAUACAGCCCUACAUUCAAGUCACCUUUGGAUUGUUUCACCUAGGAAACAUUUACUCCAGUCAAGCAUGCCUUAUCUUGUCUGAUUUUAUAUGGAUAUAUAUAAGGAUGCAGAAAGGCACUUUUUUGUCGCCUUUAUGUGCAUAAUUUUCUCUCAUUAUGAUGUUGAUUUGACAUAAAUCUGCAUGACUGGUAUGGUUGCAAAUAGAGUGAAUUGCAGAAAACCACCACAUUUCAGCUUAGGUUUGCAGGAAACACUUUUCUACGUUUUUGCUGCAAAAAACACACAUUUUUUUCUAAUCUUUUGCAGAAAGCACCAAACCUCCUGUUCGGGCAGUUUAAGCACUAUUAUGACAGGUGGGACCCUGUCUUGUCGACGUGGCUCACGGCCGCGAGCUGAUGCCGUCUAACGGCGCUAUAGUGCCGACCGACGCCCCCACUAGGUCAAGAGACCAGAUCGAAUCGACACCUCUCCCGCAUCUGAAAUUUUCCCCACCAUCCCCGCGACGGCGCGCUCUCCUCUAUCUCUGUCUCAUUUAUGGCAACGGCGAGCCCGGACGCCGGCGGCAGAGUGGAUGGCGGAGGUGGCGACGACACAGGAGGGUUGUUUGGCGGCGGAGAUCCAAAGCCACCCGAGGAGGUCUGCGGUAGCUCUAACCCUAGCCAGGCCCCGCGGAGCAGACCACCGCCCCCGUCGCUGGAGUACCGUGCCGCCGGCGCUCUGGCCCGUGCUGUGUAGGCUACUCCGACGGGGAGCCACCACUGGGCAUCUGCAUUCGGCGGUGUGGAGUAAGAUAUCUCCUCUGCCUCCCCCACCCCCUCAUUUUAUGUCGAUUCCAUAGUUAGGGUUAGGGUUAGGUGUGUAAACACAGCAUUAGAUUGUAGUGAUAUUAGUAUGCUCUGUUUAGGAGAGAAUAUAGUGGUACUUUUUGUGAUUUUAAUUGCUAUUUGGGUUAGGAUGCUCUGUUUAGAUUGUAGUGGCAAGCAGCACAGCCUUGGGUUAGGUGUGUAAAUCAAAAAUGGAUCUUUUGCCUAGUACUAAGUGUUCAUCUGCUCUCUAAAUUAGAUUGUAGUGAUAUUGGUAUGCUCUGUUUAGGAGAGAAUAUAGUGAUAAUUUUUGUGAUUUUAAUUGCUAUUUGGGUUAGGAUGCACUAUUUAUUUAGUAGACAUUAAGGUCACAGUUAGCUCUUAUUGAAAUUGGUAUGCAUAGUAUAUUUUAAAUUGGUCACUUGUAUUGUUUGUAGUUAGUGUUAUACUGUUUAAUUAAUAAGUACAAGAAUUGUUCCUUUUUGUAGCUUGUUUGAUGAUGUUUGGGAGGUUAGACUACACUUUCAUGACAUGGAUAACUUGGAAAGGACUAUGUGUGUUUCAGACAUCACUUUUUUCAAUCUGUUAGCACUCAUAGAGACAACAGGAUAUGGAAGUAAAGACUAUAUGUAUUAUGUGAGGGAUGCUGGGUUGGGAGUAGCUGGUUUGGAGGAGAUAUGUGAUGAUGACAAGGUGGAUGAGAUGAUGGAUGACAUUGCCAAUAAAGAUCAGAACAUAGUAAACCUGACAAUAGUUAGGGGUAGUGAGCCCAGACCUGCAGAUAUAGACAGAGGUUAUAUUUGUGAUCAGCAAGUUCCUAUAGGUAAUGUUGGAGAGAGCACUGUAUAUGAGGUGAAUGAUGUUGGGGUGUUGUACAAGUCACCAUCCAAAGUAUCAAAAAGAGAUGCAGUAGUUGAGGAGCCUGAACCAAUCCAGUUUUUCUCCACACAGCAGAGCCACAAUGUUGAUAUGGAGCAAGGCAAUGAAGCAGAUGUUGAUAUUGAGCAAGGCAAUGGAGAUGAUGUUGACAUGGAGCAACAUGAGUUAGAAAGAAGUAUAGAGCUUAGAAAGAGAUCAAAAAUUCAGAGAUUUAAGCAGCAUCAGAAGAAUGUUGAGAGGGUGCAGGCAAUGAAAAGAAAACUUCCUGUGCUACUAACUGAAGAUGACUCUGACUUGGAGGAAGAUGAGGAUUUCAUGGCUAGGAUGGCUGAGCUAAAGAGGCAGAGAGAGGACCCACUCUUACAUUUUGAAGGUGACACAGAUGUAGAUGAACUUUAUGAGAUACAAGAGGAAGUGCAUGAGGAAAAUGCAAAGCAAGAGGAGCAUGGAGAUCAUGAGGAACUUGAAAAGGAGGUGCUACCACAGGGGCAAAAGAGGAAGAAGUUGAAAGUAAGAAAGGGGCCAACCACAAGAUCACAUGCUAGUUUGGAGCAACAGUUUGAGGAUGAUUGGGUACCAUCAUCUGAUGAGGAUCCAGAUCCUGGUGAUUUGAAGGAGGAUCAAGAUGAUGGGGCUGUACCCCUAGCAUUUGUGCUAGGCAGUAAGGGCGUGUUCGGCAGCCCACUAGCUUCUCAAAUCCUUGCCUCCGAGCCCGGAGCACACCCGAACGGGUCAACUCCUGGUUAUUCCAGAAAGAAGCGGGCAAACGGCGCAGUGCAAAUUCGCAGGAUCGGUGGAGUUGGAAAAAUCGAGCUCCACAAAAACGAGGAAGCUGGAGUUGAAGAGAAUUACGUUGCCCUGCCACCGCCAAGUGACUCGCUCGACCAAAGCAUUACGUACCGAUUCGCUCCAGGUCGUCUCUCUUGCCACGGGCAGUCCCUCCCCUACCAGGCCUAUGGCCCAGCCCAUCGUUUCCAAACCUUAGCCUGCUCCUGAUGGGCCACAAAGGGGUGAUUUGAUGGGCUUCAGGCUCGCUACCUCGUCCGAGCGAGAAGUCGUGACGCCGAACGGAUCGCUCGAUCCGGGAUCGGUUGCCAGAAGCUGGCGCUGGAUUUGUGGCGUCGGAGUUGAAGAUUUUCUGGCCAUGGGGGGCUUCCGAACACGCCCUAAGUCUAGGGCUAAAAAACCCAAACCAAGGGUAUGGUAUCAUGAGGAUAGAGAGAGCCCAGAGCUGCAGUUUGCUAAGAAGUUAUGCUUUGAUAAUGUGUACCAAUUUAGAAGGGCACUUCUCACUUUCCACAUAGCACAGAACAGAAACUAUCAGUUUCAUAGGAACUGCAAUGACAGAAUUAUAGCUGUGUGCACACAUGAAGACUGCCGUUUCUUCAUUGCAGCUUCUGUGGUGGGAAAAGAGAAAACUUUCUGCAUUAGGAAAACUAAUUUGUUGCACACAUGUCUAGCUAUAGCAGAGAGCACCAAGGUGACUACAAAGUGGGUUACACAUGAAGUUUUAGAAGCAAUAAGAACAGACUUGAACACACCAAUAAGUACAAUAAUGCAAAAUCUGAAGAGCAAGUAUGGAGUUGAGAUCAACACUCAUAUGGCCUACAGGGCUAAGAACAAUGCUAUUAAGGUGGUGCAAGGAGAUCAGAGGGGGCAUGAGGGAGUCCUGGAUUAGGGGGUGUUCGGAUAGCCGGACUAGACCUUCAGCCGGACUCGUGGACUAUGAAGAUACAAGAUUGAAGACUUCGUCCCGUGUCCGGAAGGGACUUUCCUUGGCGUGGAAGGCAAGCUUGGCGAUACGGAUAUGUAGAUCUCCUACCAUUGUAACCGACUUUGUGUAACCCUAACCCUCUCCGGUGUCUAUAUAAACCGGAGGGUUUUAGUCCGUAGGACAACAUACAGAACAACAAUCAUACCAUAGGUUAGCUUCUAGGGUUUAGCCUCUCCGAUCUCGUGGUAGAUCUACUCUUGUACUACCCAUAUCAUCAAUAUUAAUCAAGCAGGACGUAGGGUUUUACCUCCAUCAAGAGGGCCCGAACCUGGGUAAAACUUUGUGUCCCUUGCCUCCUGUUACCAUCCGGCCUAGAUGCACAGUUCGGGACCCCCUACCCGAGAUUCGCCGGUUUUGACACCGACAUUGGUGCUUUCAUUGAGACUUCCUCUGUGUCAUCGCCAUCAGGAAGGAUGCCUCGCCCCGUCUUUAAAGACAUCACCAUUGCUAUGGGAGCUUUGGCUUUCGGCCAAACCCUCCGGCUAGGUGGCUUUCUUAUGACCGCCUGUUCGGCUUCUGCGCCGACGAUGACCUCUCGAGCCAUCGAAAACAAUCUUCAUGUCAUCUCGGAACUCGCUGAGCAGUUAGAUCCAAUGGAGCUCUCCUCCAUAAACGAGCUCUUGGAUCGCAUCGCUGCCCUGGGAGUCGCUACGGAUUACGACCAGAUUGGGCCUAAACCCGACCUGAGAGAGAUUAACUCUCCCCAAGUCACCCAUCACGUUGCUGUGGUAGAGGGACAGUGCGGCGACCCUUCAUCUAUCCUAAGGACUAGCUACGUCCGGAUUCCCGAUCCCUCCAAGCCAGAUACCCGCGGAGGGGAGGAUAUCACUCAAGACCUGAACUUAGAGUCAGGCGAUGGGCUGGAUUCAUCGGACAACAUCCAGGAAUCCAAAUUUUCGAGUUCGGAAAUUCCUCGGCCUCUGAGCCUCAGAUUGGGUGAGGCUUCGGAUUUAAUUCCACCCACCCACCCGAACAUAAGCGAUCUAUCCCAAAUCAGGCAAGAGCCCGAAGAAACAGUACAUCAUUACUGGGCCAGAUUCCUCCUGGUUAGGAACAUGAUAAGGGACUGCCGCGAGGAAGACCCAAUAUCAAUCUUCUGCAGUAAUUGCACGGACAAGGGAAUCCUCAAUGCCAUAAGUCGCCGUGAUAUUACACGCUUCGCUGACUUGGCGUCCAUUGUAUGAAAGUACUGUGCGAUGGAAAGCACCUGGAAAACCGAAAUAAAAUUUUGGGAUGAUCCGGCCCUGAAUACAAACCUAGUCCGAAAUAAAAGGGUGCAUCAUCGCCAGACACCCGGGUCAAACACCAAAAAGCAAAAACCCUCUACAGGGCAUGGAACCGUACUAGAAGGAUGGCUCAAUGGACCCUGUAAAAUUCACAGUACAGAGGACGCCACACCAACUCACAGCCUUAGAGCAUGUUGGAUACUCCGGCAGGUGGCCAAAAAUGGCGAAGAUCUCCUAAUUCCGGAGGCCACAGAAAGCCAUCCCAGAGACACCAGUACGGUAUUAACAGUCUUCGAGACUUUCGCAUCAAAUAAUAUGCGAAAAAGGACACUCCGCAGCCUUGCCGAAGUCUACCAAGUAGCAACAAUAAACCCAUGGAGUGACAUAGCUAUUACCUUUAACGCCAGUGAUGAACCUAAAUUCCGAAUAGCCCGAGCACCAGCCGCAUUGGUCCUCAGUCCAAUAGUGGACGGCUUUCGUCUUACCAAGGCACUCAUGGACGGCGGCAGCGGAUUGAACCUCAUUUAUGAGGAAACCCUUCAAAAAAUGGAAAUAGACUGGAACCGCAUUGAGCGAAGCAGCACAACCUUUAGAGGAAUAAUCCCCAGUCGGGAAGCGCGCUGUAUAGGAAAAAUCACACUAGAUGUGGUGUUCGGCACGCCGGAUAAUUACAGGUCCGAAGAGGUCACGUUCCAUGUGGCUCCGUUCAGCAGCGGUUAUCACGCUCUGCUAGGGCGGGAAGCGUUUACAAUCUUCCAAGCAAUACACCAUUACGGGUACAUGAAGCUCAAGAUGCCCGGGCCUAACGGGAUCAUCACUCUCGCUAGUGAUCCGGACAUAGCACUCCGCGCCGAAAACAAGACAGCCGCACUGGCCCUCGAGGCACUAUCCGAAGCACUACCGGCUGAGGAACUGACUGCGCUGCGCUCCACGGUGAAUAGGGACGAUGUGGUACUCGACAAAAUAUCCAAGUCCACCUCCUUUAAACCGGCGGAUGAAAUAGUCAAAUUCCAGGUCCAUCCAACGGACCCCAAUAAAACAGCUUCCAUCGGGGCACAGUUAAACCCCGAUGUAGACGCCGCACUGCGAGAGUUACUACGAGAGAACUGGGACAUUUUCGCCUGGCACCCUUCAGACAUGCCAGGAAUCCCAUGCAGGCUGGCCGAGCACAGCUUAAAUAUCCUAAAAGGAUUCAAACCUGUCAAACAAGCUCUUCGGCGUUUUUCCGAACCUAAGAGACAGGCCAUGGGAGAAGAGCUAGCAAAGCUAUUGGAGGCUAGAUUCAUCAGAGAUAUAAAACAUCCGGACUGGCUACCAAACCUGGUGAUGGUACCAAAGAAGGACAAAUCCUGGCGCCUGUGCAUUGAUUUUAAAGAGCUUAACAAGGCUUGCCCAAAGGAUCCCUUCCCCCUCCCCCGCAUCGAUCAAAUUAUUGACGCUACCGGAGGACACGAUUCGUUGUGUUUCCUCGACGCAUAUUCCGGCUACCAUCAAAUCAAGAUGGCAGAAUCAGACCAAGCUGCAACGGCACUUAUCACACCAUACGACCCAUUCUGCUUCAACACAAUGCCCUUCGGGCUCAAAAACUCCGGCGCAACAUAUCAGCGCAUGAUUCAGACAUGUCUGGCAAACCAGAUCGGCAAACAGUGGAGGCAUAUGUAGAUGAUGUGGUCGUCAAAACAAGACAUGUUGAAUCUCUAGUAGACGACUUGAGGCUCACAUUUGAUAACCUCCGAACAUACGACAUCAAGCUCAACCCGGAAAAAUGCGUUUUCGGCAUUCCCGUCGGAAAGCUCUUGGGCUUCAUUGUAUCCGGUCGAGGAAUUGAAGCAAAUCCAGCCAAGAUCCGAGCUCUGUCACAAUUGGAUAUCCCAAAGGACCUCAAAAAUGUACAAAAGUUAACCGGAUGCGUAGCGGCUCUAAGCCGCUUUAUCUCCCGCUUGGGAGAAAAGGCCCUACCCCUUUUACCGUCUCCUUCGGCGCACCGAACACUUUGAAUGGACGGAUGCAGCCACGGCCGGACUCGACGAAAUAAAAGCCAUAUUGGCAACAAACCCAAUCCUGGCCGCGCCAAACAUUGGCGAACCAAUGCUAUUGUACAUUGCAGCAACACAUCAGGUUGUAAGCGCAGUGCUCGUCGUCGAACGAGAAACGGACGGACACAAAUCCCCCCUUCAAAAGCUGGUCUAUUAUGUGUCCACUGUCCUCACUCCGUGCAAAUCACGGUACCCGCAUUAUCAAAAGAUUGCGUACGCGGUAUUCAUGGCAUCCCGGAAGCUACGACACUACUUUCAAGAGUGUUCAAUAACAGUAGCCUCGGAAGUACCACUUAACGAUAUUAUAAACAACCGUGACACAACGGGUCGGAUUGCAAAAUGGGCCAUUGAGCUCCUCCCGUUCGACAUAACUUAUAAGCCACGGCGAGCCAUCAAGUCGCAAGUUUUGGCCGACUUUGUCGCAGAAUGGACGGAGGCCGAACUCCCUAAAGAGUACGGCAGAUAUUCAAAUUGGAUCAUGCAUUUCGACGGCUCCAAGAUGUUGGCCGAACUAGGGGCUGGCGUCGUUUUGACGUCCCCCACAGGAGAUACAGUUCAAUACGUACUCCAUAUUAUGUACACAGACUCCAACAAUGCAGCCGAAUAUGAGGCCCUUUUACAUGGUCUCCGGAUGGCAGUAUCCAUGGGCAUUCAACGCCUAGAGGUGCGCGGGGACUCGAACCUCGCAAUAUCCCAAAUAAAUGGAGACUUUGAUGCCAAGGAUCCAAAAAUGGCAGCCUACCGCAACGCCGUCCUAAAAAUGUCAGCUCGGUUCGAAGGGCUUGAAUUUCACCAUAUAGCCCGAGAAAAUAAUCAGGCGGCAGAUGUCCUGGCACACAUCGGCGCAAAACGCGAUGUAGUCCCCCCCAACAUCUUCUUGGAAAGGCUGUUCAAGCCAUCCGUAGUAUGGGAAGGGGAGCCGAACAAUAACAGCCCGGAUCCAACCGCACUGCCCGACACCGAACAUUCUGACACAAUCGGAGGCUCUGCCAAUGAAAUAACACUUUCAGCCCACCGAAUAAUGGCCGUCAUCGCCCCGUGGACAGAACCAUUCCUCGCCUACCUUACUAGGCAGGAACUCCCCGAGGACCAAAAUGAGGCACGCUGCAUAGUGCGACGAUCCAAAGCCUACAAAGUCCACAAGGGAGAGCUUUAUAAGAAAAGCACUACCGGAGUCCUUCAAAGGUGCAUCUCCGAAGAGGAAGGGCGGAACCUCCUGGCCAAAAUUCAUGCCGGACUCGGCGGUCAUCACGCUGCAACUCGGUCCCUUGUAAGCAAGGCCUUCCGUACAAGCUUUUAUUGGCCGACGGCCCGGGCAGACGCACAGGACUUUGUCCAACGAUGCGUCGGUUGCCACCUCUUUGCAAACCAAAGCCAUAUGCCACCCACCGCCCUCCGAACUAUCCCCAUCACUUGGCCCUUCGCGGUCUGGGGGCUUGACAUGGUUGGACCCCUUAAAGGCGGAACCCACAAGCAAAAAUACUUACUAGUCAUGGCAGAUAAGUUCACCAAAUGGAUAGAAGCCAAGCCUGUUAAGACGGCCGAAUCCGGACCGGUGAUAGACUUUAUAUCCGGGGUUGUACACCGUUACGGCAUCCCCCACAACAUCAUCACUGAUAAUGGCACGAACUUUACGGCCGACGAGGUAAAACUCUGGUGCAAAAACAUGGGCAUCAAGCUCGAUUAUGCUUCCAUCUAUCACCCACAAACUAAAAGCCAGGUCGAACGUGCAAAUGGUCUUAUCAUGAGUGGCAUCAAACCCAGAUUAGUGCGGUCCCUCAAGAAAUCUAACAUGCACUGGGUAGAGGAGCUCGACUUCGUACUCUGGGGGCUGCGAACCACGCCGAAUCGCACCACCGGAUACACACCAUUCUUUAUGGUGUUCGGCGCAGAGGUAGUUUUGCCUUACGACAUAAUUCAUGACUCACCUCGAGUGCGCAUGUACGAAGAAAGAGAAGCCGAGCUCGAUUGGCAGGACAGUUUGGACGCAUUGGAGGAGGAGCGUGACGUGGCAAAAGCCCAUUCCGCAUUCUAUCAACAGCAGGCUCGAAGAUACCAAAGCAGAGAAGUACGGGCCAAAAAUUACAACGUUGGCGAAUUAGUUCUACGCCUACUGGACAAGAAAAAGGACAAACUCAAGCCCUAGUGGGAAGGUCCCUUCAUAAUUGACCAAGUCCUGACUGGUGGAGCGUACCGCCCACGAGAUGCAUCGGAUAACCGACUCGAGCCGAACCCAUGGAACGCAGCCCAUCUUCGAAGAUUCUAUGCCUAGCGCCGGACUCUGUGUUCGUCUCCUUCCUCUGUCCAUUUUUUAUAUACUGUCUGUCUUACAUUUCUCUCCUUCUCCUCUUCCUUUCUCUUAUAACCUCUAAAGGCUCAUCCAAUGACGUGCUAUUCGCACUCAUUAAACCCGGGGGCUUCUUUUAACAGAAGCUUAUUUAUACGGGCUUCAUGCCCAAUACAUGUGUUACACUUCCGCAUGUACCUUUUAUUUCACCAUUAUAUGCAUCGAUAUGACUUAAGUUUUGGCCAAGCUGGGUUGCCUGGCUCCUGUGCUUACCCCUAUGUUCCCAAUUAUUCGGCUAGGCGGUAAAGGGAGCACCUCUGUGAUUGCUACUGCCGGAUCAGCCGGAUGUGUACCUCAGACUGGGUGAAGCCGAAAGCUAGCGUUCUUAAGGGAAUAUUCGGUCGGUGAACUAAAAGAUGAUCUUUUAACUUAUCUAUUUAUACGCCCCCAGAUGCUUUUUCCCGCGUCUUUUUCACAGAAUGGGCAUGCCUCCCAGGGAAAGGAACCCCUAACGAAACUAUUCUCCCUGGAAGAUGUUGUUGGAAAUAUGCCCUAGAGGCCAUAAUAAAUUGGUUAUCAUUAUAUUUCCUUGUUCAUGAUAAUCGUUUAUUAUCCAUGCUAGAAUUGUAUUGAUAGGAAACUCAGAUACAUGUGUGGAUACAUAGACAACACCAUGUCCCUAGUAAGCCUCUAGUUGACUAGCUCGUUGAUCAAUAGAUGGUUACGGUUUCCUGACCAUGGACAUUGGAUGUCGUUGAUAACGGGAUCACAUCAUUAGGAGAAUGAUGUGAUGGACAAGACCCAAUCCUAAGCCUAGCAUAAGAUCAUGUAGUUCGUAUGCUAAAGCCUUUCUAAUGUCAAGUAUCAUUUCCUUAUACCAUGAGAUUGUGCAACUCCCGGAUACCGUAGGAGUGCUUUGGGUGUGCCAAACGUCACAACGUAACCGGGUGGCUAUAAAGGUACACUACAGGUAUCUCCGAAAGUGUCUGUUGGGUUGGCACGAAUCGAGACUGGGAUUUGUCACUCCGUGUAAACGGAGAGGUAUCUCUGGGCCCACUCGGUAGGACAUCAUCAUAAUGUGCACAAUGUGAUCAAGGAGUUGAUCACGGGAUGAUGUGUUACGGAACGAGUAAAAGAGACUUGCCGGUAACGAGAUUGAACCAGGUAUCGGGAUACCGACGAUCGAAUCUCGGGCAAGUAUCGUACCGCUAGACGAAGGGAAUUGUAUACGGGAUUGAUUAAGUCCUUGACAUCGUGGUUCAUCCGAUGAGAUCAUCGUGGAGCAUGUGGGAGCCAACAUGGGUAUCCAGAUCCCGCUGUUGGUUAUUGACCGGAGAGUUGUCUCGGCCAUGUCUGCAUGACUCCCGAGCCCGUAGGGUCUACACACUUAAGGUUCGAUGACGCUAGGGUUAUAGGGAAUAGAUGUAUGUGGUUACCGAAUGUUGUUCGGAGUCCCGGAUGAGAUCCCGGACAUCACGAGGAGUUCUGGAAUGGUCCGUAGGUAAAGAUUUAUAUAUGGGAAGUCAUCAUACGGUCACCGGAAUAAUUCGGGGGUUACCGGUAUUGUACCAGGACUACCGGAGGGGUUCCGGGGGUCCACCUGCCCCGGAGGGCCCUAUGGGCUGUAUGUGGAGAGGGACCAGCCCCUUAGUGGGUUGGGCGCCUCCCCCCUUAGGGCCCAUGCGCCUAGGGUUUGGGGGAACCCUAAAGGGGGGGAGGGCGCCCCCCUUGCCUUGGGGGGCAAGGCAACCCCCCUUGGCCACCGCCCCCUCCUCAGAUUGGAUCUAAGGGGGCCGGCCCCCUCUCCCUUGCCCCUAUAUAUAUGUGGGGGGUGGGAGGGCAGCCGCACCCAAGUCUUGGCGCAGCCCUCCCCCUCUCCCAAGUUCUCCUCUUCUCCCGCGGUGCUUGGCGAAGCCCUGCAGGAUUGCCACGCUCCUCCUUCACCACCAUUCCGUCGUGCUGCUGCUGGAUGGAGUCUUCUCAACCUCUCCUUCACCCCUUGUUGGAUCAAGGCGUAGGAGACGUCACCGGGCUGUACGUGUGUUGAACACGGAGGUGCCGUCCGUUCGGCACUAGGUGAAGGAAAUAUGCCCUAGAGGCAAUAUUAAAGUUAUUAUUUAUUUCCUUAUAUCAUGAUAAAUGUUUAUUAUUCAUGCUAGAAUUGUAUUAACCGGAAACAUAAUACAUGUGUGAAUACAUAGACAAACAGAAUGUCACUAGUAUGCCUCUACUUGACUAGCUCGUUAAUCGAAGAUGGUUAUGUUUCCUAGCCAUAGACAUGAGUUGUCAUUUGAUUAACGGGAUCACAUCAUUAGGAGAAUGAUGUGAUUGACAUGACCCAUUCCGUUAGCUUAGCACACGAUCGUUUAGUAUGUUGCUAUUGCUUUCUUCAUGACUUAUACAUGUUCCUAUGACUAUGAGAUUAUGUAACUCCCGUGUGCCGGAGGAACAAUUUGUGUGCUACCAAACGUCACAACGUAACUGGGUGAUUAUAAAGGUGCUCUACAGGUGUCUCCAAAGGUACAUGUUGGGUUGACGUAUUUCGAGAUUAGGAUUUGUCACUCCGAUCAUCAGAGAGGUAUCUCUGGGCCCUCUCGGUAAUGCACAUCACUUCAGCCUUGCAAGCAUUGCAACUAAUGAGUUAGUUGCGGGAUGAUGUAUUACGGAACGAGUAAAGAGACUUGCUGGUAACGAGAUUGAACUAGGUAUUGGAUACCGACGAUCGAAUCUCGGGCAAGUAACAUACCGAUGACAAAGGGAACAACGUAUGUUGUUAUGCGGUCUGACCGAUAAAGAUCUUCGUAGAAUAUGUAGGAACCAAUAUGAGCAUCCAGGUUCCGCUAUUGGUUAUUGACCGGAGACGUGUCUCGGUCAUGUCUACAUUGUUCUCGAACCGUAGGGUCUGCACGCUUAACGUUACGAUGACAGUUUCAUUAUGAGUUUAUGUAUUUUGAUGUACCGAAGGUUGUUCGGAGUCCCGGAUAUGAUCAUGGACAUGACGAGGAGUCCCGAAAUGGUCGAGACAUAAAGAUCGAUAUAUUAGAAGCCUAUAUUUGGAUAUCGUUAUCGUUCCGGGUGAAAUCGGGAUCUUACCGGAGUACCGGGGGUUAUCGGAACCUUCCCCGGGGGUUAUUGGGCCUACAUGGGCCCUAAGGGAGAAGAGGAAAGGAGGCAAGAGGUGGCCGCAUGCCCCUCCCCUCCCUAGCCCGAAUAGGACAAGGAGAAGGGGGCGGCGCCCCCCUUUCCUUUCCCUCUUCCUCCUCUUUCCCCCUUCUCCUUCUCCAACUAGGAAAGAAGGGAGUCCUACUCCCAGUGGGAGUAGGACUCCCCCUUGGCGUGCCCCGUCCUUGGCCGGCCGCCCCUCCCCUUGGCUCCUUUAUAUACGGGGGCAGGGGGGCACCCUAGAACACACAAGUUGAUCUUCAUGAUCGUUCCUUAGCCAUGUGCGGUGCCCCCCUCCAUCAUAUUCCACCUCGGUCAUAUUGUAGCGGUGCUUAGGCGAAGCCCUGCGACGGUAAAACAUCAAGAUCGUCACCACGCCAUCGUGCUGACGGAACUCCUCCCCGAAGCUUUGCGGAUUGGAGCCCGGGGAGCGUCAUCGAGCUGAACGUGUGCCAAGAACUCGGAGGUGCUGGAGUAACGGUGCUUGGAUCGGUUGGACCGGGAAGACGUACGACUACUUCCUCUAUGUUGCGUCAACGCUUCCGCUUCGGUCUACGAGGGUACGUAGACAACACUCUCCCCUCUCGUUGCUAUGCAUCACCAUGAUCUUGCGUGUGCGUAGGAAUUUUUUUGAAAUUACUACGUUCCCCAACAGUGGCAUCAGAGCCUAGGUUAUAUGGUUUGAUGUUACAUGCACGAGUAGAACACAAGUGAGUUGUGGGUGAUAUAAGUCAUACUGCUUACCAGCAUGUCAUAUUUUGGUUCGGCAGUAUUGUUGGAUGAAGCGGCCCGGACGGACAUUACAUGUACGCUUGCGCCAGACUGGUUCUACCGCCGUGCUUUGCACAUAGGUGGCUGGCGGGUGUCAGUUUCUCCAACUUUAGUUGAACCGAGUGUGGCUACGCCCGGUCCUUGCGAAGGUUAAAACAACACCAACUUGACAAACUAUCGUUGUGGUUUUGAUGCGUAGGUAAGAUUGGUUCUUACUUAAGCCCGUAGCAGCCAUGUAAAAUUGCAACAACAAAGUAGAGGACGUCUAACUUGUUUUUGCAGGGCAUGUUGUGACGUGAUAUGGUCAAGACAUGAUGCUAAAUUUUAUUGUAUGAGAUGAUCAUGUUUUGUAACCGAGUUAUCGGCAACUGGCAGGAGCCAUAUGGUUGUCGCUUUAUUGUAUGCAAUGCAAUCCCGCUGUAAUGCUUUACUUUAUCACUAAGCGGUAGCGAUAUUCGUGGAAGCAUAAGAUUGGCGAGACAACAACGAUGCUACGAUGGAGAUCAAGGUGUCGCGCCGGUGACGAUGGUGAUCACGACGGUGCUUUGGAGAUGGAGAUCACAAGCACAAUAUGAUGAUGGCCAUAUCAUAUCACUUAUAUUGAUUGCAUGUGAUGUUUAUCUUUUAUGCAUCUUAUCUUGCUUUGGUUGACGGUAGCAUUAUAAGAUUAUCUCUCACUAAAUUAUCAAGAAGUGUUCUCCCUGAGUAUGCACCGUUGCGAAAGUUUUUCGUGCUGAGACACCACGUGAUGAUCGGGUGUGAUAGGCUCUACGUUCAAAUACAACGGGUGCAAAACAGUUGCACACGCGGAAUACUCAGGUUUAACUUGACGAUCCUAGCAUAUAACAGAUAUGGCCUCGGAACACGGAGACCGAAAGGUCGAGCAUGAAUCAUAUAGUAGAUAUGAUCAACAUAGUGAUGUUCACCAUUGAAACUACUCCAUCUCACGUGAUGAUCGGACAUGGUUUAGUUGAUAUGGAUCACGUGAUCACUUAGAGGAUUAGAGGGAUGUCUAUCUAAGUGGGAGUUCUUAAGUAAUAUGAUUAAUUGAACUUUAAUUUAUCAUGAACUUAGUCCUGGUAGUAUUAGCAUAUCUAUGUUGUAGAUCAAUAGCUCGCGUUGUUGCUUUCAUAUGUUUAUUUUGAUAUGUUCCUAGAGAAAAAUUGUGUUGAAAGAUGUUAGUAGCAAUGAUGCGGAUUGGAUCCGUGAUCUGAGGUUUAUCCUCAUUGCUGCACAGAAGAAUUAUGUCCUUGAUGCACCGCUAGGUGACAGACCUAUUGCAGGAGCAGAUGCAGACGUUAUGAACGUUUGGUUAGCUCAAUAUGAUGACUACUUGAUAGUUUAGUGCACCAUGCUUAACGGCUUAGAAUCGGGACUUCAAAGACAUUUUGAACAUCAUGGACCAUAUGAGAUGUUCCAGGAGUUGAAGUUAAUAUUUCAUGCAAAUACCCGAGUUGAGAAAUAUGAAGUCUCCAACAAGUUCUAUAGCUAAAAGAUGGAGGAGAAUAGCUCGAGCAGUGAGCAUGUGCUCAGAUUGUCUGGGUACUACAAUCACUUGAAUCAAGUGGGAGUUAAUCUUCCAGAUAAAAUAGUGAUUGACAGAAUUCUCUAGUCACCAUCACCAAGUUAGUAGAACUUCGUGAUGAACUAUAAUAUGCAAGGGAUGACGAAAGUAAAGUCCCGAGCUCUUCACGAUACUGAAAUUGACGAAGGUAGAAAUCAAGAAAGAACAUCAAGUGUUGAUGAUUGACAAGACCACUAGUUUCAAGAAAAGGGCAAAAGGGAAGAAGGGGAACUUCAAGAAGAACGGCAAGCAAGUUGCUGCUCAAGUGAAGAAGCCCAAGUCUGGUCCUAAGCCUGAGACUAAGUGCUUCUACUGCAAAGGGACUGGUCACUGGAAGCGGAACUGCCCCAAGUAUUUGGCGAAUAAGAAGGAUGGCAAAGUGAACAAAAGUAUAUUUGAUAUACAUGUUAUUGAUGUGUAUUUUACUAGUGUUUAUAGCAACCCCUCAGUAUUUGAUACUGGAUCAGUUGCUAAGAGUAGUAACUCGAAACAGGAGUUGGAGAAUAAACAGAGACUAGUUAAGGGUGAAGUGACGAUGUGUGUUGGAAGUAGUUCCAAGAUUGAUAUGAUCAUCAUCGCACACUCCCCUAUACUUUUGGGAUUAGUGUUGAACCUAAAUAAGUGUUAUUUGGUUUUUGCGUUGAGCAUGAAUAUGAUUUGAUCAUGUUUAUUGCAAUACGGUUAUUCAUUAAAGUCAGAGAAUAAUUGUUGUUCUGUUUACAUGAAUAAAACCUUCGAUGGUCAUACACCCAAUGAAACAAGUUCAUUGGAUCUCGAUCGUAGUGAUACACAUAUUCAUAAUAUUGAAACCAAAAGAUGCAAAGUUAAUAAUGAUAGUGCAACUUAUUUGUGGCACUGCCGUUUAGGUCAUAUUGGUGUAAAGCGGAUGAAGAAACUCCAUGCUGAUGGGCUUUGGGAAUCACUUGAUUAUGAAUCACUUGAUGCUUGCGAACCAUGCCUUAUGGGCAAGAUGACUAAAAUGCCGUUCUCCGGAACAAUGAAGCAAGCAACAGAUUUGUUGGAAAUCAUACAUACUGAUGUAUGUGGUCCGGUGAAUAUUAAGGCUUGCAGCCGGUAUCAUUAUUUUCUGACCUUCACAGAUGAUUUGAGUAGAUAUGGGGAUAUCUACUUGAUGAAACAUAAGUCUGAAACAUUUGAAUAGUUCAAAGAAUUUCAGAGUGAAGUGGAAAAUCAUCAUGACAAGAAAAUAAAAGUUUCUACGAUAUGAUCGCAGAGGUAAAAUAUUUGAGUUACAAGUUUGGCCUUCAAUUAAAACAAUGUGAAAUAGUUUCACUACUCACGCCACCUGGAACACCAUAGUGUAAUGGUGUGUACGAACGUCAUAACUGUACUUUAUUAGAUAUAGUGCGAUCUAUGAUGUCUCUUACUGAUCUACCACUAUCGUUUUGGGGUUAUGCAUUAGAGACAGCUGCAUUCACGUUAAAUAGGGCACCAUCUAAAUCCGUUGAGACGACACCGUGUGAACUAUGGUUUGGCAAGAAACCUAAGCUGUCGUUUCUUAAAGUUUGGAGUUGCGAUGCUUAUGUGAAAAAGUUUCAUCUCGAUAAGCUCAAACUCAAAUCGGAGAAAUAUGUCUUCAUAGGAUACCCAAAGGAGACAAUUGGGUACACCUUCUAUCAUAGAUCCGAAGGCAAGACAUUCAUUGCUAAGAAUGGAUCCUUUCUAGAGAAGGAGUUUCUCUCGAAAGAAGUGAGUGGGAGGAAAGUAGAACUUGAUAAGGUAAUGGUACCUUCUCCCUUAUUGGAAAGUAGUUCAUCACAGAAAUCUGUUCCUGUGACUACUACACCAAUUAGUGAGGAAGCGGAUGAUGAUGAUCAUGUAACUUCAGAUCAAGUUACUACCGAAUCUCGUAGGUAAACCAGAGUGAGAUCCACACCAGAGUGGUACGGUAAUCUUGGUCUGGAAGUUAUGUUACUAGACCAUGACGAACCUACGAACUAUGAGGAAACGAUGAUGAGCCCAGAUUCCGCAAAAUGGCUUGAGGCCAUGAAAUCUGAGAUGGGAUCCAUGUAUGAGAACAAAGUAUGGACUUUGGUUGACUUGCCCGAUGAUCGGCAAGCCAUAGAAAAUGAAUGGAUCUUCAAGAGGAAGACGGACGCUGAUAGUAGUGUUACUAUCUACAAAGCUAGAAUUAUCGCAAAAGGUUUUCGACAAAUUCAAGGUGUUGACUACGAUGAGAGUUUCUCACUCGUAUCUAUGCUUAAAUCUGUCCGAAUCAUGUUUGCAAUUGCCGCUUUUUAUGAAAUCUAGCAAAUGGAUAACAAAACUGCAAUCCUUAAUGGAUUUCUUAAAGAAGAGUUGUAUAUGAUGCAACCAGAAGUUUUUGUCAAUCCUCAAGGUGUUAACAAAAUGUGCAAACUCCAGCGAUCCAUCUAUGGACUGGUGUAAGCAUCUCGGAGUUGGAAUAUACGCUUUGAUAAGUUGAUCAAAACAUAUAGUUUUAUACAGACUUGCAGUGAAGCCUGUAUUUACAAGAAAGUGAGUGGGAGCACUACAGCAUUUCUGAUAAGUAUAUGUGAAUGACAUAUUGUUGAUCGGAAAUAAUGUAGAAUUAUUCUGCAAAGCAUAAAUGAGUGUUUGAAAGGAGUUUUUCAAAUAAAGACCUCGGUGAAGUUGCUUACAUAUUGAGCAUCAAGAUCUAUAGAGAUAGAUCAAGACGCUUGAUAAGUUUUUUCAAUAAAUACAUACCUUGACAAGAUUUUGAAGUAGUUCAAAAUGGAACAGUCAAAGACAGAGUUUCUUGCCUAUGUUACAAGGUGUGAAAUUGAGUAAGACUCAAAGCCCGACCACGGCAGAAGAUAGAAAGAGAAUGAAUGUCAUUCCGUAUGCCUUGGUCAUAGGUUCUAUAAAGUAUGCCAUGCUGUGUACCAGAUCUAUUUUAUACCCUACCGCUGAGUUUGGCAAGGAAGUACAAUAGUGAUCUAGGAGUAGAUCACUGGACAACGGUCAAAAUUAUCCUUAGUGGAAUAAGGAUAUGUUUCUCGAUUAUGGAAGUGAAAAAAGGUUCGUCGUAAAGGGUUACACCGAUGCAAGUUUUGACACUAAUCUAGAUGACUCUAUGUCUUGGUCUAGAUACAUAUUGAAAGUGGGAGCAAUUAGCUAGAGUAGCUCCAUGCAGAGCAUUGUUGACAUAGAAAUUUGCAAAAUACAUGCGGAUCUGAAUGUGGCAGACCCGUUGACUAAGAUUCUCUCACAAGCAAAACAUGAUCACACCUUAGUACUCUUUGGGUGUUAAUCACAUAGCGAUGUGAACUAGAUUACUGAAUCUAGUAAACCCUUUGGGUGUUGGUCACAUGGAGAUGUGAACUAUGGGUGUUAAUCACAUGAUGAUGUGAACUAUCGAUGUUAAUCACAUGGUGAUGUGAUCUAGAUUAUUGACUCUAGUGCAAGUGGGAGACUGAAGGAAAUAUGCCCUAGAGGCAAUAUUAAAGUUAUUAUUUAUUUCCUUAUAUCAUGAUAAAUGUUUAUUAUUCAUGCUAGAAUUGUAUUAACCGGAAACAUAAUACAUGUGUGAAUACAUAGACAAACAGAAUGUCACUAGUAUGCCUCUACUUGACUAGCUCGUUAAUCGAAGAUGGUUAUGUUUCCUAGCCAUAGACAUGAGUUGUCAUUUGAUUAACGGGAUCACAUCAUUAGGAGAAUGAUGUGAUUGACAUGACCCAUUCCGUUAGCUUAGCACACGAUCGUUUAGUAUGUUGCUAUUGCUUUCUUCAUGACUUAUACAUGUUCCUAUGACUAUGAGAUUAUGUAACUCCCGUGUGCCGGAGGAACACUUUGUGUGCUACCAAACGUCACAAUGUAACUGGGUGAUUAUAAAGGUGCUCUACAGGUGUCUCCAAAGGUACAUGUUGGGUUGACGUAUUUCGAGAUUAGGAUUUGUCACUCCGAUCGUCGGAGAGGUAUCUCUGGGCCCUCUCGGUAAUGCACAUCACUUAAGCCUUGCAAGCAUUGCAACUAAUGAGUUAGUUGCGGGAUGAUGUAUUACGGAACGAGUAAAGAGACUUGCCGGUAACGAGAUUGAACUAGGUAUUGGAUACUGACGAUCGAAUCUCGGGCAAGUAACAUACCGAUGACAAAGGGAACAACGCAUGUUGUUAUGCAGUCUGACCGAUAAAGAUCUUCGUAGAAUAUGUAGGAACCAAUAUGAGCAUCCAGGUUCCGCUAUUGGUUAUUGACCGGAGACGUGUCUCGGUCAUGUCUACAUUGUUCUCGAACCGUAGGGUCCGCACGCUUAACGUUACGAUGACACUUUCAUUAUGAGUUUAUGUAUUUUGAUGUGCCGAAGUUUGUUCGGAGUCCUGAAUCUGAUCAUGGACAUGACGAGGAGUCUCGAAAUGGUCGAGACAUAAAGAUCGAUAUAUUGGAAGCCUAUAUUUGGAUAUCAGAAUCAUUCCGGGUGAAAUCGGGAUUUUACCGGAGUACCGGGGGUUACCGGAACCUUCCCCGGGGGUUAUUGGGCCUACAUGGGCCCUAAGGGAGAAGCGGAAAGGAGGCAAGAGGUGGCCGCGCGCCCCUCCCCUCCCUAGUCCGAAUAGGACAAGGAGAAGUGGGCGGCGCCCCCCCUUUCCUUUCCCUCUUCCUCCUCUUUCCCCCCUUCUCCUUCUCCAACUAGGAAAGAAGGGAGUCCUACUCCCAGUGGGAGUAGGACUCCCCCUUGGCGCGCCCCUCCUUGGCCGGCCGCCCCCUCCCCUUGGCUCCUUUAUAUAUGGGGGCAGGGGGCACCCUAGAACACACAAGUUGAUCUUCGUGAUCGUUCCUUAGCCGUGUGCGGUGCCCCCCUCCACCAUAUUCCACCUCGGUCAUAUUGUAGCGGUGCUUAGGCGAAGCCCUGCGACGGUAAAACAUCAAGAUCGUCACCACGCCGUUGUGCUGACGGAACUCCUCCCCGAAGCUUCGCUGGAUCGGAGCCCGGGGAGCAUCAUCGAGCUGAAUGUGUGCCAAGAACUUGGAGGUGCCGGAGUAACGGUGCUUGGAUCGGUUGGACCGAGAAGAUGUACGACUACUUCCUCUACGUUGCGUCAACGCUUCCGCUUCGGUCUACUAGGGUACGUAGACAACACUCUCCCCUCUCGUUGCUAUGCAUCACCAUGAUCUUGCGUGUGCGUAGGAAUUUUUUUGAAAUUACUACGUUCCCCAACACUAGGAUCAUCAGUGAUUUGGAUCACGACGAGUACGACUCGAUCAACCCCGUUCUCUUGAACGCUUCCGCUUAGCGAUCUACAAGGGUAUGUAGAUGCACUCUCCUUCCCCUCGUUGCUAGAUUACUCCAUAGAUUGAUCUUGGUGAUGCGUAGAAAAUUUUGAAUUUCUGCUACGAUCCCCAUCAGAUGUUUCUUACUAACCAUGUAAUAUAACAUAACUAGUCGGGCACUUGUCUGUUCACGCACUAAUGACCCCUACGCCUGGUCUCCAUGCAUUCCCCGGUUCUUAUAUAACCGCAUGGGAAUUCGGACACACUCCGGACCGUCAGGUCCCGAGGCUGAAGCGAAAAGGUCGGCCAUGACAAACGAUCUACAAUUCGGCUAGAUGGCAUUAUAAAUGUCAAUUAAAUUACAUAGUCAUUCUGACUGAUUGUAUUCCUCUUCAAUACCAUCUAACAGGCUGUCUAAUUACAGUCCUUUUGGGAAUACUUUGCGGCCAAUUCUACUUGGCCGUAUACUAAGCUUACAGGGAUCUCUUUCCCAUCGGGCCCCACAGGACCAACCUCGGCCAUGUGGUUGGGGUUAGCCUUUGUGUACCGCGUCUUUACCAUGGCCUAGGCCUCCCUAGCGCCUUGACGGCAGGCCGAUAUCUUCCACAAUCGGAAGCGUCGCCGUGCUCCCUUUAGCUUCUCCGCAAGCUCUCCAAGACCUUCGGGCAUGGAGAUGGAUGGCCACAAGGCCUGGGGACACCUUGCAUCGCCUGCCGAACUCGCUCGAGCAGUUGCGAGAGCUCGGGAAGAAGGUCAACCUUAGAACCAGGCAUCUCCUCUGCAGGACGACCUGUUAGCACACCUACAGACAUUACUCUGUUAGUCGACCUCCCCGCCGAACUUUUUUCAAAGGUUCGUUCAAGCACUUACUAAAUAUGCCGCGCCGAAGCCGCUGAUUCUUCUUAACAGAGUCCAACAGCUGGGCACGAACAUCCUUUAGUUCAACGCCCAGCUUGGUGUUGGCAUCUUGGAGAUCGUUCUUCUCCCCCUCACCUUUGUCAGCACCUUCUCACCAGCCUUCAGCUGGCGUAGGAGGUGUUGCCUUUCCGGAUUCAAUCCGGCGCCAUCUGCAAUUCCAUUUGUCAGAUAUGCACCCCUGUCGUGCUUCGCAAAAUGCUUAUCUUUCGAAGUGUAUAUUACCAGAGGGGGUCUCCUUGGGCUCCCCUACUGCGGCUAGUGCGGCCUCAAGUUGGGCUUUGCACUCUUCCAGCUCCUGGGACAGUAGGGAAUUCUUUUCUGUAAGAACCUACAUAACAAAUGAUCCUUAAAUCAGUUAUUCUAACUAUUUCAAGUCUCGGGGGCUACUGGUAUAUAUAUAUAUAUAUAAUUACCAAAAUUUUCUUACCCGUAUGUCUUUCACAUAUUGCUUCGUGGCUCUGGCUAGACCAUUUUGAGCGGCAUGGAGGUACGCAUCUCCUGAAUUGAAGGCAUCUAAUGCCUCUUGGGAGAAACAAGCGUCGCGAAGAAUUGUCCGGCGAUGCCUGUGGUUCAUGGCACUCUCCACCUCAGAGUUGGUGGCAAACAACCUGUCCACAUCCUCCGUCGGAAGAGCGUCCGGUGCGCGCCUUGCGUUCGCCUCCGCCUUCGGACCAGGCUUUGGAGCCUGGCUGGUGGAGGCGCGAUUGGCAGCCUCUCCGAAUAUAGUCCGGCGAGGUCUCUUUGUCUUGAAGAGAGCACGAGUGUUGAUAUGCCUUGAAGGUAUAACACCUGUGACAAGGGGGCGCGCCAUACCUUUGCGCUGACGCCUCGGUCCGGACUGCACCUCUUUUCUACCCACGGGGCCCUGCGACCCCUCGUUGGCUUGUCACCACAGGUGCGGCCUCCCGUCUCAGAAACCUCCCCUGCCAAGCUCGGUUGUAAUCAGGAAACUGAAAACACGAGAGGGCAGACCCAUAUUCGGGGUAUUGGGACUUCGAUCUCAGUUACCUGGGAGGCCGGGAUUAGCCCUGGGUAAUCGGCCGUAAUGGCCACCAAGGCGUUGUCCUUGCUCAAUUGAUGGAACACUCCAUCAAUCAGCUCCACAGAUAAGUCCGGAUCCUCUUGAGAGGCCGGGUCGAGGGACCGUCCUGGGUCCUUGGGCUGUGGAGGAGGGCUGUUUAUUUCUUUAACAGCCUGGCGCAGUUCCUGCAUUGAAGUCAUUAGACUGAAUAUUUGACAAUGGGAAUAUAAAACGGAUGGGCAAGUAAAUGUGACCACUUACCCAGCUUGGGGGAUUGUACAUAGAAAAUCCACCCUGUGGGUCGACACAGAGAAAUUCCUCCUCUUCUCCCUUGUACAAAGCGGACAAGGUCUUUGUUAGAGCCGCAGCCGAAUACAGCCCCUUACGGCCAUAGCGGGUGGCGUCGUCCUCCCCGUUGAACUCCCACAUGGGGUGGCCUCUAUACUGUAGCGGCUGCACCCCUCGCAUGAUGCAUGUGGCCAUGACCCCGAUCAUGGUCAGUCCGGAAUGAGCUAACAAUCUUAUCCGGUCCAUUAGGUAAAAAAAGUCCUUGUCACUUUCCCUCUGAGGGCUCCGUGGAUGCCAACUUAGGCGCUUCUUUAGUGGAGCGCUGUCAAACUCAGGGAGGCCGAUCCAGACAGGAUCCGGCAGCGGGACGUCCUCUAUGUAAAACCAUUCCGAAGGCCAGUCCUCGGACGCCUUCUUUGGGGUUCCGGAUAGAUAUCCGGUCCCGGCGAUGCGCCACACUUCGGCUCCGCCCACAUGAUACAUUGACCCCUUCUUAGAACGGGGCACACGGUAGAAUAGCUCUUUCCACAGCCCGAAAUGAGCCUCAACAUCCAAAAACAGCUCGCAGAGGGCUACGAAGCCCGCGAUAUGCAAUAUGGAAGCAGGCGUGAGGUUCUGUAGCUGGAGGCCAUAGAACUCCAGAAGCCCCUGGAGAAACGGAUGAAUUGGAAAUCCGAGCCCUCUUAUUAAGUAAGGGGCAAGGCAUACCCGCUCUCCUUUGGAGGGAUUGGAGACGCUCUCCGCUUGCUCGCCGCCAUUAUAGGUGGCAAGUCCGGCUCGAACCGGGACCAUAUAGGCCGGGGGGAGAAAUCCCUUGGUUUGGAGCUCCACUAGCUCGCUGUGCGGGAGGGAACACCUCUUCCAAUCUCCAGGUUGAGGGCUGGAAGGGCGAGAGGAGGAGCUGCGGCGGCCGGCCAUGAUAGAAUGGACCUCUGUCGGAUACGCUCUGAUGAAUACAAGCAGAAGGGAGAAGGUGUGGUUUGGAUCUAAAUCCUCGUCCCCUUAAAUAGUCGGCUCAUUUACGCGGCUAGGGGUGUGGAUGUAAAAACACUCAGACUUUUCAUAUUCGUUUGACACGUGGAAGAUGGCCAUUAUUGGGCGUAGAGGCCAAGGAGCGCAACAUUUACAAGAAACCAUACUUUAUUCAACAGGUACACGGAAUUUGGAGGAGAACCCGCCUUGCAAUGUCGAAGACAAUCUGUGCGCCGGACUCAUUGUCAUUGAAGCCUGGUUCGGGGGCUACUGAGGGAGUCCUGGAUUAGGGGGUGUUCGGAUAGCCGGACUAUACCUUCAGCCGGACUCCUGGACUAUGAAGAUACAAAAUUGAAGACUUCGUCCCGUGUCCGGAAGGGACUUUCCUUGGCGUGGAAGGCAAGCUUGGCGAUACGGAUAUGUAGAUCUCCUACCAUUGUAACCGACUUUGUGUAACCCUAACCCUCUCCGGUGUUAGUCCGUAGGACAACAUACAGAACAACAAUCAUACCAUAGGCUAGCUUCUAGGGUUUAGCCUCUCCGAUCUCGUGGUAGAUCUACUCUUGUACUACCCAUAUCAUCAAUAUUAAUCAAGCAGGACGUAGGGUUUUACCUCCAUCAAGAGGGCCCGAACCUGGGUAAAACUUCGUGUCCCUUGCCUCAUGUUACCAUCCGGCCUAGACGCACAGUUCGGGACCCCCUACCCGAGAUCCGCCUGUUUUGACACUGACAGGGCAAUACACCAGGAUAAGGGAUUACUUGCAGGCUGUGUUAGACACCAAUCCAGGUAGUAGGUGCAUUGUCAGUACUAAGUUCCUAAAAGACCAUCCAAGCAUCAAUCCAAGGUUCCAUGGUUUGUUCAUAUGUUUGAAUGCUUGCAAGGAGGGAUUUCUGAAUGGAUGCAGGCCAUUCAUAGGUGACUACUAAACUGUGUUAUAUAUGACAUAAAUGUGGUGCACCAUCACUACUAGGGAAAACCUUGUACACGGAAUCUUAGCAGCAGCGCGGCAUAAAAACAGGCGCUGCUGCUAAGUAGGAGCAACGUGGCUACGGAAAGCUCGCUACUAGUGCAAACUUAGCAGUAGCGCAUGACUCUUAAACCGCGCUGCUACAAAAAUCCACCGACAGUACACAAUGACAUAAGUUUACCAGUAGCACGGCGCCAGGGAGCGCGCUGCUGCUAAUGCCAUAGUAGCAGCGUGCUUUUUUGUCACCUCGCUGCUGCUAAUUUUGAAAUUGUGCACAGGGUUGGCCCGUUUAGCAGUAGCGCGUGACAGGAAAGCGCGUUGUUGCUAGCUCUUAGCAGUAGCGCGCUUUCUCUCCCGCGCUACUGCUAAGAUGCAGCACCCACCACCUUUUCCACCUCCCCUCCCCAUCUCCUCUCCUCCCUUUCCCCUACCUCCCACAUCCUCCCUCUCCCACUCUUCUUCUUCCUCAAUACUUCUCCCCCCAUUACUCUCCCUCUUCUACCUACCUUUCUCUCUCUUCAUUACUCCUAGCUAUAACUACACCACCUCCAUUAAUUCAUCUCCUUUCUCUUUUUCCUCCCCCCCUCCACUAGUUGAAGUUGUCUCCUCCCAAAUUAGCUAGCUAGGUAGAUGUAGCAUUUAGUUAAGUGACCUAUUUGCCCCCUAACUAGAUCUUUCUUUGUCAAGAAGAGCUUUAUGCACUUUUGACCUCCCUACAUCAUCAUCUCCACCGUGUGCUCGAUCUCGAGAUAGAGGUGUGAUUAAUAUUUCAUGCUUUUGCAAAAUGGAAAUAUAUGUUCCUAUUUGGUAUACACACUUAAUUAGCCAUUAUUAUGCAUGGGUCCAAUGAUGUAAUAUAUAUAUAUGUUCCUAUUUUGUAUACACACUUAGCCAUUAUUAUGCAUGGGUCCAAUGAUGUAAUCUAUAUGUUCCUAUUAUGCUGAGAAAAAGAAAUAUGGAAACUGGUUAUAGCAGUAGCGCUUUAGUGAAAAAGAGCUACAGCUAGUCAAGGUAGCAGUAGCGGUUUCUGCAGAAAAUCGCUAUAGCUGCUCGUAAUAGUAGUAGCGCGUUUCGUGUAAACGCGCUACUGCUACGUCCACUUAACCCAAAAUUCUCCAUCUACUUGCUUCAUCCCGCCUCUUUUCCCCCAAAUCCCCACUCUCUCUUCCCCGGCCCCAUCGCACCGCCGCGCCCGCCCCCGACCUCGGCGCGCUCGCCCCCGACCCCGCCACNNNNNNNNNNNNNNNNNNNNNNNNNNNNNNNNNNNNNNNNNNNNNNNNNNNNNNNNNNNNNNNNNNNNNNNNNNNNNNNNNNNNNNNNNNNNNNNNNNNNNNNNNNNNNNNNNNNNNNNNNNNNNNNNNNNNNNNNNNNNNNNNNNNNNNNNNNNNNNNNNNNNNNNNNNNNNNNNNNNNNNNNNNNNNNNNNNNNNNNNNNNNNNNNNNNNNNNNNNNNNNNNNNNNNNNNNNNNNNNNNNNNNNNNNNNNNNNNNNNNNNNNNNNNNNNNNNNNNNNNNNNNNNNNNNNNNNNNCCCCGCCGCCCCCGACCCAGGCGCGCUCGCCCUCGGCGCCGGCGCUCGCCCCCGACCCGUCGGCCCUCGCCUCCCUCCUCUGCUUCCUCCCCUCCCAACCUCGGCCGUCGUCGGGCCUGCCUCCUCGCCCUGCACCCUCUGUAAACCACCCCCCUCUCUCUCUGCUAGCUAGGGUUAAUUUACUUAGGUUUUAGUUAUGUUAAUUAGGUUAUCUAUUUAGUUAUGAAUUUAGAUAGGUUUCAAAAUUUGCUGAAUUUAUAUGCAAAUUUGAACUAGACAUGUGAUAUGUGGAUAUGUCAUGUUUUGGACAUGUCAUGUUUUGGUAAAUGAUCCGAGUUGCCUAUGUUACGCCGGAAUGUUGAUUCAUUUCCGUUCCGGUGAAUUUCAGGCGCUCGAUAUGUCCAUUUUUAGCAAAGGUCAUGCCGAAAUUUCCCGUGAAUAAAGGCAUGAUUUGUGCUACAUAGUUGGCAUAUCGAGUGCUGGCACAUAGAUUUCUUUUUUAUCUCAUUUCUCAUUUAUUCAUACUUUUAGAAAUAAAUGAGGACACUUAAUCAUAGGAAACAUGUCGAACAACGAAGAAACUGGGCAUUCUGACCAAGAUGCAGACGAGAUGGAUUAUGAGGGUGAACAAGACUACCUCGACUUUUUGACUGCUAAGCAAGGUUUGCAGGUCCGCCUCCAUGAUGUUACUGACACCGACACCGACACCGAUGGCGGCGCCGAGACCGGUGGGGAAGGUACCACCGGGGAAGAUACCGGCGCCGAUGCCGGUACCGAAAAGAGGCAUAAGAAGCAGAGGAUACGAAAACCUAACAAACUAGGGAUUGGACGACUUGUGAUCACAAAGAUGGCACCUGACAAGUUUGAGCCGUUAGAGCCAGAAGAACCUUGCAAGUGCUAUGGGAACCAAGUAGGAUGCAUCCUACGGGAAUGCGCGAGCAUCAAUGACGAUGACUUAAGGAGUAAAGAACAUUUGACGCAGUUGCUCCUAACGAAGUUGCACAAGAGAUUCAAGUUCCCUGAUCGGGAUGAUAACAUAGAACAACCGUGGGAUGAUCCGAAGAUGAAAAAGAUUAACAAUCACGCCAUGGGCAUGUUCAGCAAUGAAUUGGCUUCCUGGAAAUCGAGGGUGAUUCGAGCUAUUGAGGCUGAGGAACCCCUGUCAAAGAUUCUGGAGGAAAAUCCGACACUUACGGAAGAGGAGUUCGAAAAGUUCAAGGCCACUUGCGCUACCGAGGACGCCAAGGCUAAGGCUGCGAAAUUCAAGAGCCUUCAGCAAAGGAGCACGGGGAAGCAUCGCAUCGGAAGCCGUGGCUACCUCGGUAAAAGGCCCAUAUGGGAUAAGGAGGACGCGGAACGUGAAGCCGCGGGUCUCCCAGACCCCUUUGCGAAGUUCACCAACCCCUUGGAGCAUGACUUCAUCAGGGCCCGCUACAAGUGGGACAAGGAGAAAAAGGUUUUUUACACGGACAAGAUCACGAGGAAAUUGAUUAGACUACUAGAGAAGCAACACCAGCUUGCAGCCGAAAACCCUACUUCUCCGAUGAGGCCCUAGUGGGACACCCCUCUCAAUCGGGCCUUGAACGAACUUAAGGGACUCCCUUUGGGCCAGCGGCCGCAAUAUGGUCGUGUGCACAGCGCUGGAGAUGGCGCCACGUGGAAGGUGUUUUACAACGAGGGCCCGGAGGCCAAGAAGCAGAAAAAGAAGUUUAGUCAGGCGGACAUCGACGUGAAGGUGAAGCUUGCGGUCGAGAAAAAAGCAGCUGAGGACGCGAAAAAAGCAGCCGAGGACAAAUAUGAGUUGUUACAACAGGCAGUCAAUGCAGCUGUAACUGCCUGCAGAAAUGAUUUUGCUACUAACUUGGUUCCAGUUAUCAUCAACUGGACGAAGGAAAAUCCAGACAAGACGGUACAUGAUUUCCCGUUGCCCAGUUUCAAUGGGAUCAACUCCAUGAACAACAACAUCAUCGCACCAUCACUUACCCACGCAACCGGGCCUCCUCUCGCAGCCGCUCCCGCUCAUAGCAGCCCGUCCUCAGUCUCUGGCACGCUCGGUGGGCCUUCGUCUUUGGCUGAGCUCAACGCCAUCACGGUAAUUACAUGUCGCACCACCAUAUAUUUAUAUAAUAUUCCAUUUUUGUUGCCUUUCGGAUGUUUUACGCCACAUACAUAUGUGUUUGCAGGCGAAAGAAACCCCGUGCACCAUACUCUACUUGAUCAAAGGGCAGAAGGUGGAUGUGGGAAAGGGGAUGAUAAUGGAACCCUUGCAACCCACGUUCCACAACUAGCCGAUCCCUGCUGGGCACUUCAGGGUUAGCUUGUCCAGUGUGAAAUCAGGGCACGAGGAUUUGCCUCCUCCAGUACAGCAUGUGGGAGUGGACGACGAGACCCCACCGCGGAUUGGAAGCUGCAAGGGUUGGGUGCUGCUAUGGCCGAAGAAUCUUAUUCGUCUGGAGCCGGCCGAGAGCACACCAAUAACCACACAUCAACAAGCAUGUGCGGAGACCACCACGCCGCCUACGCAAUUACCAGCUCCUGUAGUGCCGGGUGAGAGCGGCGGACGACAUGAUGAAGGGGGUGUAAUAGUGCUGGCUGAUGUAAUUUGUCUUGUAGAACAGAGAAUGGAUGAUGAGACGGAGGUUGACCCUAUGGAUUUCCUCAAUACAAACGCGUAUGACUGUGACAUAGAAUUGAUGAGUCAACCAUAUGACGAAUCGGGCUAUCAGCUUGCUAAUGAGGAUAUGGAUGAUAUGCCCGGGCAGGAAGGUCGUAGCAGGGAUUGCAAAAAGUCUCUCUUCAUGAAAUCCUCACAGGACACGCCUGAAGAUGCCGCCUCAACACAUGCUCAACUAUCCCAGCGCGAGGGUCGUACAGUACUUAGCCCGAGAACACUGGGGCAGGGGUUAAGGAAGGGUCUAGAAGGUGUGCCCAAGAAAAAGGAGAGAAAGAGAUCGGGGAAGAUAGCUGCCUCUAAACAAGCCAGAGCACAUAGCAGCCAAAUGAUGCAUUCUGAAGAGCGUGUACCCGUGAAAGGUGCGGCCAUGUUCCAUCUCACGGGCGAGCCGAUGCUACCGCCGAAACCGCUGGAGGCACUAUCAAGGGAUCUCAGGAGACUGCACGACCAUGUGCUGUCGACUGAGAAAAGCCUACUAGCCUCAAAGGAUCCAGGAUAUCCGACAUACGCGGCUCGUGUGCCUGAGGGGAAGUGCUAUGUCGAGACACGGCCCGCGGAGGUGUUCUUCAUGCGGUUUGACCAUAUCUUUGAGAUGUUUCUGACAAGGCGGCUCGAUUUUACAAUCGUCCGCCUUUUUGCGCUACAUAUGAGCUCUGUCAUGAACAGUGAAGAAGUCUCGCAAAUCUGUGUGGCGGAUCCGUACUACAUGCACGAGUCUUUCUUGAGUCUCGGCGACUUUGAGCGUGAAACUGCUAGGGACUACCUCCAGAACUUCAUGGUACAAAAUAAGGACCGGGAAAUUGUCCUCGUGCCUUAUCAUCCAAAGUAAGUCAGUUUCGAACAACCCUUUCAUACAUUUCAAUCAUUCCUUCUCUCUCUAUGGGGAAUAAUUUGAGGUGUCUUUUCCCCGCAGCAACGGGUGCGCCGUCCUUAUCGUUCUUUAUCCGCAAGUCUCCCAUGCCGUGUAUUUUGACCCUUCCAGAGACUACGAGAAAAAAGAAUACACCCACAUAAUGAAUAUUCUAGAUGAUGCUCUCCAAGGCUUCAACUUUAGAGGUGGCCACAUGCAGAUCAGGAAACAAAGGAACAAGAAGAUGGGUUUCGCGCAUAAAACUAACUUCUCCUGCAUCCAAGUCCCAAAACCAAGCAAGAAGGAUGGAUUGUACAUCCGCCAUCUCAUGAUUCAGUUCAACACGGAUCACCAAAAGCUUCGCAUGAGAAGCAGAAAUGACGAUCAUAUCCACAAGUGGCUAGAAUCUCAUGGAGAAGCGGAUUAUAAACUUAGAGAUGACUUCUUUCGCAUCCAAAGCGACAUUGCGACGAUCAUCAUGAAAGAAGUCAUCGAUGAGAAGGGGAUGUUCCACCACGGCCCUAUAUCGCGAGCUGACGUCCGAACUCGCAUAGGCAUGUAACGUCUAAACCUCACGCCUUUCAAGAAGCUAGGGUGCAUCCUCGAUGAUAUGGAAGGAUGGAACUUCUAGUGAUUUAUGAUGCCGAUGAUGAUGAUAUGUGUCGGUUGAACUUGUAUACUAUUUGUAGCGAUGCAACUUUGUGAUGUCCACGAUCCCUGCCGAACUUGCGUAACGCUACUUUGUUACUUUGCGUACGAUGACCUGCGUACCUCUAGUUAAUUAAUUUGCGUACUGUAUGUUGCAUCUAGUUGCUAACCCUUUCUUUUUCGGUGUUCUCUAGUAUAUUUUGUUGCAUAUAUAUGAUUGUGCAUCCUCUUCAUGAACAUGUAUCUCUAACAGGUACCUAGUUUCUUGAUGGCGAGAUGGAACUGCUAUGUCGUGUAAAAGGGAAGGUUCCGGGGGUGUACAACGAGUGGCAUGAGUGUCAGGAGCAAGUGAAUGGGUUCUCGGACACCAGCCAUAAAGGCUUCAAAAGCAUACAAGAAGGAGAAGCUAGUUACUUGAGGUUCACGCUAGCGCGAGAGAGGACUCGUAACCGCCAUCUCAUGUACUGCAUAGUUCCGCUCUCACUCAUAGUGAUAGCUCUUCUCGCGUAUACCUUUGUUUAGAUGGAUGACGUUGUAGUUGCAAGUAUUCGAGACUUGCAUGUAUCGCUAUUUUUGAGAUGAUGACAAGAUACCACUUUGUGUUGGAUGAUGAUUAUGACGAGACUAUUUGUAUCACUAGUAGAAAAAGGGUCAAACGUGAAGCACAUUAGUGCCGGUUUGUAUUUGAGCCGGCACUAAUGUAUACAUUAGUGCCGGUUCCAACGGCUAGCCGGGCCGCUUUCAUUAGUACCGGUUCGUGGCACGAACCGGUACUAAAGGUCGUCCUACAUAAACCCUUCACACCCGAGCUCGCUAUGUUCUUCCCCUUUCCCCUCUCCUCUCUGUUCUUCCCCUCUUCCUCUCGAGCUCAUCACACAUUUUGCCCAAAAUUUGUCAAGAUUUGAAGGCCCCCAUCCAUUCAAAUGAUCACAAAGGUUAGCAACUUUGUCCUUUCAUCUCUCAUUGCUAGAUUAGCUCUUGCAAUGCUUUAUAUAGUGAUUAAUUUGUGAGUUUAGUAAUUUGGGAGGAUAUAUAUAUAUAUGUGCUAGUAUUUGAUUUAUAUGCAAUUUGAGGUCAAAAAUAACACUUAGUUUGCAUAUGUAGGUGUGGUUUACUUAGUGCCUUCUAAAUCUCCGUCGUAACCACCGUCGAUCGCCCGCACCGUCCCGUCGCUGGCACCACCUUGUGGUGAGCCUCUUGUUCAUGAAAUUUUAUAUAAAAAUUGAUGUUUGUGUGAUUUGGAUAUAUAGUUACUCGUAUAAUUAUCUUACCCGUACGUUGUUUGUUAUACAUAUAGUGCCAUGGUUUUGAUAUCCGUCCCCGUCGGCCCUCGUCCUUGUUAUGAUUCGGAUGUGGUAUAUAUAUUCUCUUUUAAAACUAGUUGCAUUUCGUAUUUAUGAAAAAUUAUGCCCAUCAAGUUGACAUAGAAAUUUUUUCUAGGAGGUAUGUGAACCGUAAAUUCCAACUGACCCUAUUGUCGAGCGGUUAAAUUUAGUUGAAAGAGAAAAUGAGUAAUUGAAAGAAAAAUUGAAAAGAAUUGAGGGGGAGAAGAUGGAAUUGGAGUUGCAUGUUGCUGAUGUCGUCGAUGCUCACAAGAUCAAUAUGGAGAAAAUGCGCUUGAAUAUUAGAAAGAUUACAAAAUAUGCCAUCGAUAGUGAGGCUUGGUAUCAUUAUGCUGUUGAAUCCAUUGUUACCUUAGUUGCGAUCUUGAUCGUAUUUGUUGUUGCAUUUAAAUGCUUUAGCUAGAUUUAAGUGUUGUAUGAACUUGUCUUAAUUUGGUCUAUUCGGUGUUGUGUAAUGAAGAUGAGCUGGCAAUGGAUGUACGAUGACCGAUGCUCUCCCCAGUUCGUUGAGGGCGUGCAUAGUUUUUUGCUUGCGGCUGAGGCAAACAAGCGGGUGUAUGGUUUUAUGCCUUGUCCAUGUCCUUGCUGUAAGAAUGGUCACAAUUACUCUACGUCAAGAACCAUUCACGUCCACCUGUUUAAGUCCGGUUUCAUGCCCCACUAUAAUGUUUGGACCAAGCACGGAGAAAGAGGGGUUAUGAUGGAAGACAAUGAAGAAGAAGAGGACGACGACAGCUAUCCUGGCCAUGGGUUCCCUGAAUACGAUGAUACAACAAUGGGGGAAGAAGCUGAGCCGGUAAUGUGGGAAGAAGCUGAGCCGGCAAUGCGGGAAGAAGCUGAAGAAGAGGCAUCAGGUGAGCCCGUUGAUGAUCUAGGUCGGGCCAUUGCCGAUGCAAAGAGAAACUGCGCAAGUGAUUUGGAGAAGAAGAAGUUGCAGCGCAUGUUAGAGGAUCACAAAAAAUUGUUGUACCCGAAUUGCGUAGGUGAUAAGAAAAAGCUGGGCACCACACUGGAAUUGCUGCAAUGGAAGGCAGAGAAUGGUGUAUCUGACAAGGGAUUUGGAAAGUUGCUGGUAAUGAUAAAGGAUAUGCUUCCAAAGGACAACGAAUUGCCCGAGAGUACGUACGAAGCAAAGAAGGCUGUCUGCCCUCUAGGGUUAGAGGUGCAGAAGAUACAUGCAUGCCCUAAUGAUUGCAUCCUCUACCGCGGUGAGUAUGAGGAUUUGAAUGCUUGCCCGGUAUGUGGUUCAUUGCGCUAUAUGAUCAGCCGCGAUGACCCUGGUGAUGUCGAGGGCGAGCGCCCCAGGAAGAAGAUUCCUGCCAAGGUGAUGUGGUAUGCUCCUAUAAUACCACGGUUGAAACGUUUGUUCCAAAACAAAGAGCAUGCCAAGGCGAUGCGACGGCACAGAGAAGACCGUAAGAAAGACGGAAAGUUGAGAGUACCCGCUAACGGGUCGCAGUGGAGAAAAAUCGAAAGAAAGUACGGGAAGGAGUUUGCAGAUGACGCAAGGAGCGUAUGGUUUGGUCUAAGCUCAGAUGGCAUUAUUCCUUUUGGGGAGCAGAGCAGCAACCAUAGCACCUGGCCUGUGACUCUAUGUUUGUAUAACCUUCCUCUUGGUUGUGCAUGAAGCGGAAGUUCAUUAUGAUGCCAGUGCUCAUCCAAGGCCCUAAGCAACCCGGCAACGACAUUAAUGUGUACCUAAGGCCAUUAGUUGAAGAACUCUUACAACUUUGGAAUGGAACAGGUGUACGUGCGUGGGAUGAGCACAUGGGGGAAGAAUUUGACCUAAAGGCAUUGUUGUUCGUGACCAUCAAUGAUUGGCCUGCUCUCAGUAACCUUUCAGGACAGACAAACAAGGGAUACCGCGCAUGCACGCAUUGUUUGGACGAUACCGACGGUAUAUAUUUGGCUAAUUGUAAGAAGAAUGUGUACCUGGGACAUCGUUGAUUUCUUCCGAGCAGGCAUCCCGUAAGAAAGAAAGGCAAGAAUUUCAAAGGUGAGGCAGAUCACCGGACGAAGCCUCGCCACCGUACUGGUGUUGAUGUACAUGAUAUGGUCAAGGAUUUGAAGGUGGUCUUUGGAAAGGGUCCUGGUGGACAACCUGUUCCGAAUGACGCUAACGGACGCGCACCCAUGUGGAAGAAGAAAUCUAUAUUUUGGGACCUGCCCUAUUGGAAAGACCUAGAGGUCCGCUCCGCAAUCGACGUGAUGCACGUGAUGAAGAAUCUUUGUGUGACCCUGGUUGGCUUCUUGGGCGUGUAUGGGAAGACAAAAGAUACACCUGA